UGCGCAUGAGUGGCCAAUGAACGAUACUAGCCCCCCCUCUCUAGGAUUUAGCCACGCCCUUCAUUCGUUACUGUGGGGAUUUUCAGAACAGAGGUUGUGGCAGUUUCAGCAUCAAAUACCUGUUAAAGAAGAAAAGAUAGUUGAACUGGAAACAGAAAAUGCUGUUCUGUCCCUGAGAUUGGCAGAGAUAAUGAAGUAAUGCUUUGCUCUGACCAAUGAGCCACAGGAAUGGCUCUAGAUGUGGUCAUCGUAUACUACCCUGAAAGAACCGCCAGAGUUCCAGGACGGCCACCUUUCACUUAAGCAAACUUGUCCACAGACUGUGUGGGUCCCAUCAGCUGAGAGUAGCCUUCACAUUGCAGUGAUGUGCAUAUUUCUGCUUUUCAGCCACGAUGGACUUUAGGAUCUUCCCUGAGGACCCUACACGAACCACAGGUGACCUGGAUGCAGAAGUCCUACCUGUAGCUGCCAUCCAGGGCAUAAGUCCCUCAGUGAGUGAAUUCCAGAUGGUUCUGUCUAAAGCAGCAUCGAGCAGGGUGGUGGGAUAGAAUGACAGUUGUGAGCAGUUCCCAUUGGCAUCAACUGUACCACAGACCCAGUCUCAGUGUGACACAGAAGACGACUACCUGGAAAGUUCAUCCACAGAGCACGUAAUUCUGAUUGGUGCAACAGUCUGGAAGAGUGAAAGAUAUCAUCUCCCAAGGGCAAGUGCUGUGCUAGUGGACACUGAGGAGCUGCAGGGAUCAGACCCCUCCCCAUCCUUUUCCAGCCUCUCUUGUUCUUUCUUGAGAUGUUUCCUGCAGACCUGAAAGAUCCAUGCAGUCCAUGACAUGGGUUUCAAUUUAAUCUCAGGACAUUUUAUUCAUUGCCCAAAAACUAAGACCAGAUAAAAUUUAUUCAUUCAUUCAUUCAUUCAUUCAUUCAUUCAUUUCUUAUAUAUAAGGACAGGGUAGUUGUCUUUAGAAACAACAGAGAGGUCAUCAGAUCUAAUUAGAGAUAUUUGUGAGCUGCCAUGUGGUUGCUGGGAUUUGAACUCAAGACCCCUGGAAGAGCAUUCAGUGCUCUUAACCAUUUAUCAAUCUUUCCCAUUUCCAAGGUAACUUUUUUACUUUCAACAAGGUAUUCUUUAUUCAGGUUACAUCCUGAUCCCAGCUACUCUCCCUCUUCCCUUCCCAGUCCCACCAUACAAAUCCUUUCUAACAAUACUCUCCCUUCUCUUUGGAGAUGGGGAUACUCCCUGGGUACCACACCACCCUGGGACAUCUAGUCCCAGGUGGACCGAGCACAUUCUGCCCCACAGAUUUACAAUCAGGCAGUCCAGGUAUGGGGAAGAGAUCCAAUGGCAGGCAACAAAGACUGAGACAGUCCUGGAUCUACUUGUCAGAUGACCCACAUGGAGACCAACUGCAGAUAGCUACACCAGGCUCUGGAGUUGGUUGCACAUGCUCUAGUAUACAUGGUCCAAAGUAUCUGACUGUAGGGAACUUCUUGUAGUGUUUUUGACCCCUCUAGUUUGCUCACAAUUCUCCCUCACUCUUCCACAAGACUUCCCAAGCUCCAUCUGAUGUUUGGCUGUGGGUUUCAGCUUGUGGAUGAAGCCUCUUCAGAGACAAGUAUGUUUCUUUUCUGUCCACAAGUAUAUCAGAGUAUCAUAAAUACUGUCAGAUGUUAUCUCUGUCACAUAGAUGAAUCUCACUUUGGGGCAGUCAUUGAUUGGUUGUUCCCUCAAUCUCUGCUAUAUCUUUAUCCCUGCACAUUCAUUAGCAAGAUAGAUUUUAAGUUGGUGCUGUGAGUGCAUUGAUGUCCACUUCCUCGUCUAGAAGUUCUUUCUUGCAACAAGAGGUAGCCAUUUCUGUCUCUUGCUCUGGUAGGAUUCUAACCUAGGGUCACCCCCGUAGACUCCCCCUAUGCUCUCCCUUACCAGCCAUCCAGCAAGUCACCAGAGAUCCCUGCUCCCUCCUGCCCAGAAAAUUUGUAUUCCCACUCCCAUCCCUCUCCCAAACCCCUCUCCCUUGACCUGAUCACUAUUUCCGUCUCCUUUCCUGCCUCUUCUCUUAACCUGUUCCAUCACUUCAUCCUUCUGAGGACUAUUUUCUUUUCCCUCUGAGUGAGAUUCACACCUCCUCAUUUAGGCCCUCCUUCUUUCUUCUUGUCUAUCUAUCUGUUAUCUUACACUGUAUGAUAAUGUCCACCUAUAAGUGAGUACACACCAUACGUUUUUCUGUGGUUCUGGGUUUCCUCACUCAGGAUAACAUUCUAAAGUUCAUCCAUUUGCCUAAAAAGUUCAUAAUGUAUUUAUUUUUAAUAGCUGAAGAGUAUUCCUUUGUAUAGAUAUAUACCAUAUUUUCUGUAUCCAUUUUUCAGUUGAGGGGUAUUUAGGCUUUUUUUAGUUCUUGGCUAUGACAGAUAAAACCAGUAUGAACAAAGUUCAUCAAGCAUCCUUGUGGGAUGGUGGGGCAUCUUUUGCGUAUAUGUCCAGGGGUUGUUUUGCUAAGUCCAGUGGUAAAACGAUUCCCACUUUUCUGAGAAACUGCCAAUAUGAUUUUGAAAGUGGAUAUACAAGUUUGCAAUCCAAGCAGCAAUGGAGGAGUAUUCCCUUUUUUCCACAUCCUCACCAGCAUGUGCUGGAUGUCACUUGAGAUUUUUAUUUUAGUCAUUCUGAUUCAUGUAAGUUGGAAUCACAGGGUGCUUUUGAUUUGGAUAUACCUGAUGACCAAGGAUGGUGAACAGUUCUUCAAGUGUCUCUUGGCCCUUCGAAGUUCCGCUGAUGAAUUUAGCUUUGCACCCCAUUAUUAGAUUAGGAUAUCUGGUUUCUUGUAGUUUAACUUGUUAUUUAUGUAAUUUGGAUAUUAGUCUUUUGUGAGAUAUAGGCUUGGUGAAGAUCCUUUUCCAACCUGUAGUCUGCCAUUUCUCCUAUCAAGUGUGUUCUUUUCCUUACAGAAGCUUUUCAGUUUCAAGUUUCGUUUAUUGUGGAUCUCAAUAUCUGAGCACCACUGGGGUUCUGUUCGGGAAGUUGUCUCCUGUACCAAUGUGCUCAAGCCUAUUUUCCAAUUUCUCUUGUAUCAGGUUUGACGGAUAAGGUUUUAUGUUGAGGUCUUUGAUGCAAUUGGACUUGAGUUUUGCAGAGCUUUAUACAUUAGGGUCAUUGCAUUCUUCUUUAUGCCUGUAUCCAAUUAGACCAGCACCACCUGUUGAAGAUGCUUUCUUAUUUUUGUCAUAUGAUUUUGCCUCCUUUCUUGACAAUAAGCAUCCAUAGUUGUGUGGGUUUAUUUCAGGGUCUUGGAUUUCAUUUUAUUGAUCAAUCUGUCUGUUCCUAUACCAAUACCAUAUAGUUGUAUUACUAUAGCUCUGUAGAACAGCAGUAAAUCAGAGAUGGUGAUUCCUCCUGAAAUUCUUUUAUUGUUCAGGAAAGUUUUAGCUCCCUGUGUUUGUUAAAUAUUUCACUUGAAGUUGAGAAUUGCUCUUUUAAGGUGUGUAAAGACUUGUUUUCAGCUUUGACAGGUAUUGCCUUCACAAUUUAGAUUGGUUUUAGUAAGAUGGUAGUUUUCAAAUUAUUAAUCCUACCUGUCCAUGACCUUUCUUAUGAUAUCUUCUUCAAUUGCUUUAAUCGGAGAUUAAAUUUUUUGUCAUACAGAUCUUUCCUUUUCUUAUAAUUGCACUGAGGCCUUUUUGUUAUAUUAUUUGUUGCUAUUGUAAAUAGUAGUGUUUCCCUAAUUUGUCAGUCCCUUCAUUGUUUGUUUAAAAGAGUCCUACUGAUUUUUUUUAGUUAAACUUGUAUCCAUAAACUUUGCUGAUGGUGUUUAUCAAAUGUAGGAGUUAUCUGUUCUUUUUAGCUUUGUCAGUCUUGGACCCAGAGGGCAGAAUGAAGGGCUGUAAAGAUGACAGGGUGUUUCCUCUAUCCUAUCUUCUCCUUUGUCAUUCCAAGGGCAGUAAGCCUAGAAAUUACCUUUCCAUUCUUUCUCCAAACUCCAUUUGUUUACCAGACAGUGAUAGCUGAGAAUUCCAGACCACUACUGUGUCAUAGUGGUCCCUGUCUGCAGGAUACAAGCCUCUCAGCCUAGGGCAUUCUUGUGUCAUGUGGACCCUGUCUGCAGGAGAAUGGUCUCUUAGGGCAGGUGAAAUGUUGCCUGUAUGUUCUUCAAUUUGCAUGAGGUGGCUAGAAGGAGGUUUUUAUGUAAGGCACACAACACAUCAUUCUUCAACAAUGUGAGCCUUCAGAUCUGAUGUAAAUAUUUGAGAUUGAAUAUCUAGUUCAUGAUUUAAUUUCAAAAAUUCUAAAGAAAGGUUUCAGAUUUGAUGCUAGGGAUUUUAUUUUUAUCAAUUCAAAUCAACAUUACACUAAUCGUUGGUGGACAUUAUAGGUGACAGUUCUGUUAGAGAGUUAACUAAUUCUUCAGAGGUUCCAAAGACUCUAGGACUCUCACAGCAUUACACAGCAUUCUUGCAGGUAGGAGCAAAGAUGUCUGAGAAGAGUGGGAGCUCAUAGGUGGCCGUCAAACAUAGCUAUCUGAAAAGAUGUAAAUUUAGUAAAGAGAUGUAGAUACACUGUCAGGAAAGGAAGAAGUGUGUUGCUGUACCUCCUGUGACUUAAGUGCUAGAAGAACACUUGUGUCAGUCGAGUCUGCAACUCUUUCUCAGCAUAAUAGAGUUAUUUAAUUUUAAUUCCUGAAUUUUGCACUGUCAUUCCUUAGGUGAUUUAUGGAAAAAGACCUCAGUUUGCUUAUUUUAUGUGAAAGGGGAUUUUAUGAUUUCAUCACAUUUUCUAUUUUCAGAAUCCCUAAUGUGGGUUCAGAAGAUUUUUCUGAUCCAUAGAAAUCUGUGCAUCAGUGAAAUAUGCACACUUUCAAAUAAAACAGAAGCAUUUUCAACCCAAAAAUUCUUUUUAAUACAAGCUAUACGAUCAAGUGUUGAAAUACAAGCAUAAGUAUUUUUUUUUACAUUUAUCGAGUUUCCUAUUUGAAAGUGUGUCUUUGCUUUUUCCUCUGUAAGAGAAUAGAAUGUCCCAGAGAGCUGAUGAAGGAUUUGCACACUUGUCUUGCCUAGGAAGUGCAUUCUCCUUGUUUCUGCAGCACAUGGGCAGCCUUUGGUGGCAUAACAAUACCUCCCAAAGAAGAGCAGGUACCUGCUAUCCCUAGUGCGUGGGAAGACAGAUGCACUCAAGAACCUGCAAGCAUCUGAAAAAUCUGCAUGUGUGUUUGUGAGACCUGUAGUGAAAUAGACUUGGCCAUCCCUGGGCAGUGAGGUCAGAUGUGAAUAUGUGUUGUAAGAGCACAUUGAAUAGCAUACAUUACUGUGGGGAAAUGUCUCCUUUCACUGCCCCAUGCUAAUGCCUGGACUCCCCAAACAUAUUCACUGAUAAGCCCAUUGCCUUAAAGGUCUUCUGGUCGUUCAUGUUUGAAAUGUAAGUGGCCACUCAGUACUGAUGGAAUGAAGGUAUGCUUUAUUAUCAUGGCACAAGGUACACUGAUCAGUUCCAGCAGGCUGAAGGGUCAGUGAGAUGUUGUGUCCCCUCACUCUCAUGCAUACUUUGCUUGAGCAGGGCAGCAGGACAGCAUCCAAAUCUCAGGGGAUGGGUGAAAUACAAGGAGGGAGUGAGGCGGUUGUUACUCAAAGGAUGUAAAGUUCAGAUGAACAGGGAAUGACUGUGACUACUGUUAUAUGGUAAACUGUGACACUCCGCAGUGUCCUGUAAAAAAUGCAAAGGAACUUUAAGAAAGGGAAGGCAUGUUUGAGGGUUUAAGGAAUUUGGGGGGAACAUUUUUGGAAGAGCAGAAUUUAUAUAUUAGAAUUAGAGUUUGUAUUUCGAUAUUUUAAUUUACAGGUUUUUUAAAUCUGUGGAGAUAUCCAUUAGAAACUAGAUUUGGUACUCAUCGAGGACCAUGUCUUCUUAUGCACCCUGUCCUGUGUGGGAUUUGUGGCUCUGACCUACUGUUUUCCCUGGUCUCUGUACCACUUCAUUUUCUGCCAAAUCCUACAUGAGUCUUCCUCUGUCCAUUCCCAGGUAAUAAAGUGUUUUCAGAAACACAUAUACUCAUGAAUUUAUGAUACAAUUAAAGCAGAAUAGGUUGGUUGAUUGACUUGGCAGAAGAAAUGUUCAUCUCCUAAAGUGCCGGGUGAUUAUGUUUAUUUACAAAAUUUUUCAACUUAUUCACUCAAGGCAUUGGGAGGUAAGUGCCAGUCUUGAGGUUGCUUAAUCAUUUUUAGCAGUAUACAGAUAGUACUGCCAUCUGCUCACCCUGUGAUCCCAGGCAGUCACAUACAUGACAGGUUAGGGGAUCAGACGAGAAACCAUAUGUGUGUGUAACUGUUAACACUGUGAGAAAUGAACACAGAACCUGUGCAGGUUGAUUGAAGGACCCUAUAAGACAUUAUCUGUUAGGUAGGCUCUCUUGAGAUAGUAGAGGGCAUGGGGAAGAGUCUCCUCCAUCGGAAGGCUCAGGAGGCAGGAUCGCAAGUUGGCUGGGAAAGUUAGGUCUCCAGGUGAUACGAGUAUUCAAUGCCACAGUAAAUUGAUUUGUACUCUACAAGCACUGUGGGGACUCUGUUUUUCUUGAGAAGGCAGAAGCAAAGUCCCAUAUUCAAUGAGCAGGUAAUCUACCCAGGAAAACUUCUGUGGGUAGGCAUACAGCUUUUGCUUAUGAGUGGCCAAUGAACAAUACCCACUGCCCCUCCCCCUACAGACUUAGCUAUGCCCUGAGGGGAUUUCCAGAACAGAGUUAGUGGCAGUUUCAGCAUCAAAUGCCAGUGAGUAUGAAGGGAGCCCAGGGAGUUUGAAACCAUCUCUCCAUGCUCUAAGGGACGUGGAAAAAAUAAGAGAACUGGGGUUGUCAUCGUAGCACUGUUUUCUGAGUCUUGAGUUCCCUUGGGAUGGAGAUCAAAUUUUCAGAAUCUUAGGGAAGUUGACCUGUUUGCUCCCAACUGUCUUUAUGGCUCCUUCCUCAAACUCCCACUUGGGUCCUCUCUGACCUUGCAUUUGCAGCAUCAGCACAUCUAGGUCCCCUGACUUGGCACCUCCCUCAGCUAUGCUGAACAUUCACAGACUCCAUACUGAGCAGGAUUUGGGAGUACAGCUACUAAUACCAAAAAUUAUGUAACCCUACUCUUUGCCCUCGUAGAGCACACAGCAGAAUAAAUAAAUGGAUAAAGUGAACAAAAAUAUAAACACCAUGUGUGGUAAUGGCUGCCAAGUAGAGAGUCUGGACCUUACCUGAUAUGAAAUCAGCCCCACCUAAGGCUUAUGGACAGGAUACUGGGAAGGGGAAAAACAUUUGAAAUGUAAGUAAAGAAAUAUAUCUAAUAAAAAAUUAAAAAACCAACCAACCAUACAAACAAACAAACAAACAAACAAAAAAGACUAUACUGUGACCUUACCCAGAGAGAAGAUGAUCUGAUCUGCCUCUUAAAAGUGAGAUUUUAGCAGGUAGUGCUUGCUGACCAGAGAAGUCAGAUGCUUACUGAGCAGCCCCUUAGAAGUCAAGGCUUGACUUCCAACUAGCAGACAAGGAAGUCUGUGGGCAUGCUCCAAGGAAACUGGUGAGAGCCGCAGGCAGCAUUUUGGAUCUUUGCAAAUUUGCCUAAGUGUACAUUGAAGGAAGAAAUCUCUGUUCCAGCAACAAGUGCUCAGGUCCUUAAGGAGAGCACAACCCUGCCUGCUUCAAGCUCCAGAAGCUACCCAGAAGCUUCAUCCUGGGACUGUACCUUAGCACUAACUCAGGACCACUUUACCUCACCUUGAGAGACUAAUCUUAGGAUUUCCAUCCAUCCCAAGAUACAGCUGGGCUUGUAGCAUCAAUUUCAGACUCCAGGGCACACCAAGAAUGCACACUGUAAUAAUCUUUGUGGGCUGUCUCCACAUUUGAGCAGAGGUUUCUGUGGGCUUGAGAUUGGAAGUCUUGGGUCCAAGAGUUGGCUCCAGUUCUCCUCAGUUUGUAGGUAGCAGAUUCCUCUUGAUGUCCUGUGUUCUCUCUCUGUACCCUUCUAAUGUCUGUGGCUCUAGGGUUCCCUUCAUAAGGACCCCAAAGACAUUACAACAGAGCCCACUUUUCAGGCUUCCUUGAAUCGAUGACCUUGAAGGCACUGUCUUUAAGUGUCACCUGCUUAGUGUCAGGGACUUCAUCCUUCACCAUAUGAAUUGGGGUGUAUCUUGUCCAACCUAAAGCACUCAAGAGAGACUCAUAGGGUCAGGGCAAACCUGACAGAAAUUUCUCACAGAGCCCCAUUCUAAUUGGACCAGACUUUGUAAAUGUUUGUGUCCCAGGUCUUUCUGGUACUGCUGUCCAAAAUUGUUCUCAUGGUAUAAAUCCGUCAUUUAUGGAGGGAAACUGAACAAAAGGAAAGUAAGGAAGAAAAAGGCAGUCGACUUGUAGAUGGAAUCCAAUAAAUAGAAGAGACCCUAAGGAAUCUGCUAAAAUUUAGCACUGAAUAGUGAGUUAUACAAGACCAAUGAAUAUAAGAUCUGUUAGCAGAAAUGAAGCAGUUCUGUAGCCUAUCAGUAAACAGCACAAAAUUAAGGUAAAAUUUCUAUGUCAUACAGCAUGUUUAAAAAAAUCAAAAGUAUUUUCAAAUUACUUUGACCAAACACAUACUAAACUUUUAACUAUAGCUUCUAUUAUUUUUGAAAUCUAGAAAAUAAUAAACUUCAUCAACAUAUUACAGAGAUUUUCAUAAUCAAGUGAACACAUUUAGAAAUUGACAGUGUAUAACUCAGAGGUUUUCAAACUCACACCAUGGGCUCUCUUUACCAAUCAGAGUUUAGAAGUGCAGAUAAUGCUGUCUCCAUGUAGUCACACAUACUCUGUGGGAAGAUUUAGAGAGUUAAUUCCCUAACAGCAGGGUCCGCAUCCCAAUGUGGAGACAGAAUUCCCUUCAAGAGGGUCUAAAUCACCUGCAGGUAUGAGUAGCCCCCUCAAAGGAAGGACUGAAUCUCCUGCAGGCGAGAAUGACAAAAAUGAGAGGAUCCAUAGGAGGAGGGACUUAAUUUCUUCUCUGAUGAGACUGGAGCACCAGCAGGAAUUUGACUCUGUAGUCUGAGAGAUUAUUUUCAUCAUGAUGUUCUGAGUUCCCUGAAUCCACAGCUGGAACACUGAGCCACCACCAGGAACACUGCACCUGGACCAGUUGUCUUAAGGGCAUUAAAUACGAAUUUCACUUCUUUGGCUAUUAAAAUCCUACCAUGCUCUAGCUUCCUUCCAACAUCCACCCUUCAUUCCCCACCAUCUCAGCUUCUCAAUGAAUCCUUCCUCUCCUUGAUUUUCCAAGCCUACCUACGUCUUAUGAGCACCUACACACACACACACACACACACACACACACACACACACACACACACACACACACACACACACCUGGCUUUGAAGGGAUCCGAUUUUGAUUUUUAAGGCUGAACUGUUUCUAUGGCUUUCUCUGUAAACUCUGCUUCCCAGCUACUUUCCAUGGCACCUUCCUGACCAAAAGAUAAAAGAGUCUCGAGUGUACAGCUUGCAUCCCUGGUAGUCCUCAGGUCUGGAGCUGAUGGGCUCAGAGCCAUGGGGUGUGUGUGUGUAGCCGGCCAGGCCUUGCUGAGGCUGACUUGUCUUGCCUCUGCAGUAUGUGAAGGACUCUUCACAACCUGACAGUUGACUUUCUCCUUGCUGAGACUGUUUCUACCAUUUCUUGCACUCUGUUCAAUCAUGGUAUUUCAUGUGGGCAUGUACAUGCUGUGUUGGUCCAUUUUUCUUUUGGAUCCUGGGUUGCAGGUUAAAGAAAAAAAAGGUAGUUGAACUGGAAACAGAAAAUGCUAUUCUGACCCUGAGAUCCGCAUAGGUAAUCUCUGUCCUGUAGACUGAUUGACUGAUGAGACACAUGUGAGUGUUAGCUUUGCGGAGACUACUGUAGUUGUAAAAGAUGGAAAGGACUGCGGCUUUCCUUUGACGGCUGGUCCCCUCCAGUGAGAUUGCCACUUAGUGUGUCAUCCAGUAGUGGAACAGAGAUUAAUCCUAAAUCUUUCUUCCUCGAGCUCAGAAGUAUUUAAGGAAUAAUGCUUUAAUGAUACAUCCAACAGCUGGUCCUGGACAGCUGUGUUGUACUGUUUAUGCACCAUGAUUCACCCACAUUAAUUUUAAUUGAUGUAUAGAUAUAGUAGUCACCUCCAACCCCCAAAUACUUGGUCUCAAUAAGUGCAAACCCAGGUCAUCAGAUAUGGUUUCUCAGACACCCCACAGCACGCUGCACUCCGAGUGGGAUGCUGCACAGUUCAGAUGCAGACAUUUCCAGUGUGGCUGGGUGUUCAGUGUGCCCUUCAUCUCCUCACAGGCUCUUCUGACACAACCUCCACUGAAACUCCAGUUGUUUCCUUUCCUUGGACUUUUGUUUUGAAGUAUAGUGCUCUUUUUUCAGGUCCUGAUUCUAGAAGGCAUUGAAUCCCCUGCAGACACACAGUCUGUCUUGUCUUAAACUGGUACGUGUGUGUGUGUGUGUGUGUGUGUGUGUGUGUGUGUGUGUGUGUGUGAGUGUGUGUGUGUGUGUGUGUGUAUGUGUGUGGAGUUGUAGUAGUAGUAGUAGUAGUAGUAGUAGUAGUAGUAGUAGUAGUAGUAAAUGAAGUUCCACAGACCAAGACAACAACUCAGGAUACAGAACCCCCUGCAAGAGAUCCUCAGCUGAAAACAUGGAAUUCAGGAGGGACUGAAGACAGCUGACGUGCAACAUGAUGCUAAUCUUACUAAGAUCGUCAACUUUUCACCCAAUACCUGUGAAGCUAGAGUAGCUCAGAACACACUGAGAAGUGUAGAGAGAAAGAAUUCCAUGCCUAUUUUCCUCUGCCUAUGAGAAAUAGGUUUCAGGACCGUAAAUAGUUUUUGAGGGUAAGUUUCUCUUUUAUAAACACCAGUCUUUUUCUCUUAUAUACUACUUUAAAAUUAUUUAUUUUUAUUUCACUUGCUUUUGUGUUUUACCUGGAUGUGCAUCUGUGUGUGGCUGUCAGAUAUCCUAGGAAGUUUGUUGUGUAUGGGCAAUUCCAUGUAAAACAGAACAAAGAGGAAAUGCAACAUCAACAGUAGCAAUCAGGUCUCUCUCCUUAGGCCCCUGUGGAUGUAGCUGCCCUUGGGACUGACAGAGUCUUCUUUGUUAAUGCAUGCCAUACACUGAGCUACAGCUGUGAUGGCUCCUAUCCUAUGGCUACCACAGCACCUGAAUCUUGCCCUAUCUCCAGGAUACCUGCAUCCAGCCUUGUCUCCAGGCAAACAUGCUGAGGAAGAAACAUUAGCCACAUGUAAACAAUGUGGGAUUUGUAAGUACACAAAGAAUAUAUUUUCCCUAUCAAAUAUGCAUUAUAAAAGGAGGAUAGCAUGAAGGAGAGAGAUGCUAUAGACUAGGACUCCAGUUACACAGUGGUUUCCAUAUGGAUUUGUCAGACAUGACUAGGAAGGGUGUUGGGAAUCUGUGCAGACUUAGACAAACACAAAUGCUUUUCUGUAAUGGGAUCCAAGAGGAAAACAGGAUCAGAUGAAAGAUCCUUACCCAAGGAUGACCUCUCUUCAGUGAGAAGGCCAGAGUUAUGUGUGGCUUCCAUUUCAAGAUCUCGGGUGGAAUGUGUGAGUCAGGUGUCCUUGUGCCUGCUGUUCUCCAGUGCUUUUAACAAGAAGGCUUCCUCCUUCAAAAUGGCAAGCUUGAGUGUGGCAAGGUCUCUCCCUUCUGUGGUUGGAUUAUGGUUGUCCAACAAGGGUGUACAUGAGUAUAUGUGCACUGUGUGUAUUAUGUAGUGCCCAUAAAACCCGAAGAGGGUAAGAUAUUCUAGAUCUUGAGUUGCACAUGACUGUGAGCUGACUUGGAAGUGUUGAAAAUAAGUGAAGGUCCUCUGCAAAGGCAGCCAGUGCUCUCAAACCCUGAGCGAUCUCUCUAGUUCCUGCUCUGAAGGUUUUCUGAUGUCCUGUUGAUUACUGUCUGCUCCACCAGCCUGUUCCACAGGAAUCAGUCUUAUGAUUGUGUAGCAUCACAACACCAAAAAUAGUUUAAUCUCUGACUGGAUGCCUUUAAUGAUUUUACAAAUGAUAAAAAUUGACUAUAUUUGUUUUUGAAUAUUAACAGUGCCUCUGGAACUAAACUCAGAUCAUCAGCUAUUCCUUUCACCUCUGAACAAUCUCAAAAGCUCACACUGUAUAUUCUGUUCUGUCCUCAGUAUACCAUGUAUUUCUGUAAUCACCAGCAUUGUUAAAGCAAGCCAAAUGAGAUUUCUAAAAUCUUCAGAUUUUGAAAUUUACAUUCACACAUAGCUUGUGCUACACAUCAUUAAUCCCCCCUUUCAGGAGAGAGCAGGUCUCGUUACUUCAAAACCACCCUUGUGUACAGGGUGAGUUUUAGGACACCUUCAGUUUGUGGUGACACUCUGUCUCAAAUUAACCACACAACAACAACAACCCAACCACACUCACACAGAAACACAUGCAUGGAACACACACACACACACACACACACACACACACACACACACACACACACAGAGCACUGUCCAAUUGCUACCGUUCUCAUUCCUAAAGUGAACUUUCAGUGUAACUGUACUUUAACCUCAACUUCCUCAGUCCUUCCAGUCUGCAGGCUUCUCUUAAACCCUGAGGAAUUGGCAACUGACAUCAGACCGGUUUCUACUUCCUGGUGGGGUAAUUGGUUUGUGUUGUUUUGUUAUUUUGUACUCCCUUAGCAGACCUCCCUAGGCUCUGAGAAGAUUCCAUUCACUUCCUUCAGAGGACUUUAGUGUUUUUAAGUCAUACUCAACAAAGUAAGAAACCAUUUGUUCUGACUGCAGCAUUUAGGAUCAUGUUGAAUAGGUACCAGCAGAAUGUACGCUGUUUAAGAAGUAGGUCUGUGGGUUAGGACUAGGUGUAAUUUCAUCUGCUGAGUGAAUGAGUGUUUGCUUCAUGUCCUUGCCCCUUUUGCCUUCUGUGGUAUUUUUAUUCCUGAAGACUAAAGGGUUUGAGUUUGGGUUGGAUCCUUCUGUGAUUUCAGUGUCCAAUACCUCUAGACCUAUACUGUAAGUGUGACCAGAUUAACAGGGCUGUUGAUUUUCCAUGGAGAUGCUUGUUUAAAUUUUUACUUAAUCCACAUCUUAUGUGAAAGAGGAGGGAGAGCAGCUUGCUGGCUCUGCAGCAACACACAAAGACCCAGAGUGAAGGUUCUCUCUGUUACUGAUUCGAAUUCCUGAAUCACCAUGACAUUUUGCAUGAGCUAUCCUCCACUGUCUCGGGCAUUUGAGUACUCCUUUCCCAGUUGGUGACUCUGUUUGGGAAGAUUCAGGAGGUGUGCCCUUGCUGGAGAAAGAAUGUCAGCGGGGCUGGGCUUUGAGGUUUUAGUGCUUUUGCACCACUCCCAAUGCACCAUCUGCUUUGUACUUGUGAUUCUAGAUGUCAUACCUCAGCCUCCUCCUCCUUCCACCAUGCCCUGUAGUCAUGGAACUUAACCUCUGCUAACACACGUUCUCUGAAAUAGAAUCACUAAUGUCCUACUUGUUUUAUAGUUUGCUGUGCUCAUGGCAUUUCUGUCACAGAAAUGCAAAUGUAACUAAUGCAGAAGGUGACUUAAUGGAGUGGACUCUUGCUGUGUGACACCUGACGAUGCCAGGUUGUACUUGUUUCUUGUUUUGGGAAAUGUGUAAGAAUUCCAGUGCUCUAAGAUGAGUUUAAUGGGCUACACUGGCAAGAACUUGGGAGUCAGGAGUGCCAAGAGCUAUUCAGACUGUGGAAGCCCAGGAGAAGGGGAUUCAGAAGGAAAAAAAAUGUUUGUAACUGGUCUAGGAUAAUUCCUAUGAGGCUUUUACAAAAAUGUGGCUUCCUUUCUGCCCACAUCCUAAAAACUUACUUGAGGCUAAAUUCAAAAGUAAUAAACAAAUUUCUUUGAUGAAAAUUUGAAGAGAGCCCAGUAUGGCCUCUGUCAUACUGUGCUUAUACUCUUCAAUGAAAAAUAGCAAAUGGGGCAAAAAGAAAUACAAAAUGUACAGUUUACAGAGAAAAAGACACUGGGAAGACUAAUAUUAUAGCCAAUGCCUAUACCAGAAGAGAGCCUGAAAUUGCUUGGAGAUUAGCAUCUUAAUAAGAGGCCAUGUCUCCUCAGGUGAAGACAUCACUCAACUAACUUAGUAAUCUGUGGUAGAAAAUGACUUACUUAGAGUUUACCUGCUAUUAACAGACACCAUGACCAAAGCAACUCUUAUAAGAAGAACAUUUAUUUGGGUUUGGCUUACAAGUUCAGAAGUUUGGCUCAUUAUCAUCAAGGUAGGGGCAUGGCAGCAUCUAGGCAGACAUGUUGCAGGAGGAGCUGGGAGUUCUACAUCUUCAACUGAAGGCUGCUACUAGAAAACUGAUUUUCAUGCAGCUAGGACAAGGAACAUAAGGGUCACAUCUACAGUGACACACUUCCUCAAUCAAGGCUACACCUAUCCAAUGAGGGCUCAUCUGCAAAUAGUCCCACUCCCUGGGCUCAGCAUAUUCAAAUCAACACAUGAACAUUAGGUAUUUUUAGUUCCUGAUAUAACUUUUGAUCACAAACUGCUGCUGCUAUGGUUCAUGGGGUCCAGGUCUUCUAGAAAUCAAGCAUCUUCUCAUGUACUCUCAUCAGUCACUGGAAGUAAGGAAGCUCAAGAAAGGACUGCUGUGUGGUCUGAGACAGCUGAGAAAGUCUGCUUGAGAAGGUGUGUCAAUUUUCUUCUCUACAUGGAGAUAGUAUGGAGGUUACCUGACCUUAUCUGGCCAGUUUUCAUGUUUGGAACCCCUGGACCCUAUUCAUUGUCAGGUAGGAAAGUGUCAUUUGGCACUCAAUGACAACUUGUGCCUAUCGUGUACCCAAUGUUGAUAGAUGACUUAAGAAUGUAGGUUUGAAAGGUGUCCAGUUCUAUCUGGGAAGGAGAACAGCAGGCCUGAGAGGAACAGGCUUCAUGUGCAGAGGGAGGUAUCAUCUGUACGUGGGUGGGAGAAGUUCAGAGACGGUUAGUCAAACCUGUGUAUCCAGGAGAGCUCAGUUAACUGUGGAAACAAUAAGAGUAAAGGUAACUUUGAACUUGGAGGAAGAGAAGAUUUGUUGCAACUGUUUGUGGACUGUGCUUCAGAGAUGAUGAGACAUAGAGAAGCUCUGUCUUGGGUUCAUGGCACUAAGCAUGCUAGCUGAGUACUUCACAUCUUAAGUUGUGUAUGAUUUUAGGGGUCUUACACAGAGGUUAUCACCUUAUCUACCAAGAGCAUCUUGCUUUACUUCUAGCAGUCACAUGAAUUUAAAUUUCCUACUUGUUUGUGUUCUUAAAAACUCACUGAUUAGUUUUAGCUGAGCGUCCUGGGAGACUUUGCUCUUAAGUGCUGUAAGUUUUACAUAUUUGGUGAUUAACAUAAAUAACUAUACAUAGGUCAAUACAGGGCCCACACUGACAUCACCUUGCUAUCUGGAGCUGUUAGCUCCUAGGCCAAGGUUCUCAAAUGUCUCUGCCUCAGAAAGAAAUGUGGUAGUUUGAUUUCAUAAUCUACUCACAUUCCUUUUGUCACCCAGGAUAUCUGCUAGAAUGAGAGGAUUCUGUCCCAUGCAGGACAAUCUAGAUACUGCUCCCCCAGCAGGAAUGAAAGGGCCAAUUCCUGUCUCUGAGGGGCAGUCCCUGGUGUUCACUGUAAUGUCACCCAACAAUCCCACCUUGAAUCUGCUGUUCCACUUGAGCCUGGAGCCUCCCUUUUAUUCUGGGAGAUAAACAGGUAUCUCCAGCUAGGAAGAGUGGUCCAAACAUGAGAUUUCGUGAGGGCAGUGAGAAUGGUGUAUACACAUUGAGGGUUUCAGAUUGAAUGAUACUGAACUUAAUGUACUUCCUAUUAGAGUCAUCUGUGAGUGACAUGUGAGCUUUGUAUUAAAAUUUACUUUUACGUCCAAGAUUUCAUGGUAUGUCAAUGCCCUACUUGCUUUUGAAGAUGUCCAAGGAACUGGAUAUAAAAGAGAAAUUACAAAUCAGAAAAUGUUCCUAGGUGUACAGCACUUGUUUAGAUGUGCAAGUCCCAGUGCUCAACUCCAAGAGCACACAUUAUGCCUUAGAAAUAGAUGAUAAGUGCUCGCUCUCUCUCUCUCUCUCUCUCUCUCUCUCUCUCUCUCUCUCUCUCUCUCUCUCUCAUGAGUGUGUGUGUGUGUGUGUGUGUGUGUGUGUGUGUGUGUGUGUGUGUGUGCUUGUAUAUGUAUGUGAGAACCUGAAGGUGAGCCCAGGGUCUGCGUGGUCCAGUUGGUACAAGGAUCCCACAUUGUUUGACUCUCAUGUAGACAAGUAUAAUGUUGUUGGGGUGACCAGCAUAUAAACAUUGGGACCAGAGAGAACUAUUUACAAAGCCAACAGUUUUGACUGAUUUAUGUGAAUUAGGGCAGAUUUGAGAGCACACUUAAGAGAUUUAAACUGUGUUUGAGAAAAUUUUAUAUAUAAAUAUAUAUAUAUAUAUAUAUAUAUGUAUACACACACACACACACACAUCAUAUCCCUGUACACCCCUUGGUUGGUGGUCUAUUUACUGGAAGCACUGUGUGGUCCAGCCAGCAUAUGUUGUUCUUCCUAUAUCGCAAGACCUCCUCAGUCACAGGACAUCCAUUGUUUAAGCACCACCACUACCUCAGGAAGUCCAUUGUCUGUGUGUCAACUCCACUGUUACAGGACUUCAAGUGUCUCAGUAUCUCAACUAUCACAGGACUUCUACUGUGCCGGAGCUCAAGUGUCUUACAACGUCCAAUGUCAUAAGAUCAUCAGUGUCACAAGAACUCCAUUGUCUGAGGAACUGCACAGUCCAAACAACACUAUGAUUGCAGGACAUCCACUGUGGAAACACCUCUACUAUAGUAGGGCCUCCACUAUCCAUAUAUCAACUCGACUGUCACAGAUCACCCAUUGCUGCAGGACCUCCACUGUCACAGGACCUCCACUGUAGGAGCACUACAACUGUCGCAGGAUCUCCAGUGUCUUAUAACCUGCUCUAUCCCAGGACUUCCACUGUUGUAGCACCACCAUGGUCACAGCAACUACACUGUUUCAGGACAUCAACUGAAGCAGGACCUCCAAUGAUGCUCCAACUUCUCUGUCACGUGAUCUCUACAGUUACAGGAAUACUCCUGUAUCAUCAAUUCCAAUAGCUAGACCUCAGUUGUCACAGGACCUCCACUGUAGCCGAACCUUCAAUUUUGCAGCACCUCCACUGUAGGUAGAAUGACCUCCCCUAUCGCAGUGCCUCCACUUUCAAAGGACCUUCACUGUCACAGAACCUGCACAAUUUCAGUGCCUCUGCUGUUGCAGGACCUACCUCUUCACAGGAUCUGCACUGUUGCAGCAACUCUAAUUGCACUUUUACAAAGGCAUUACUGGUUAUUAGAUUUGAGGCUGAAUGGAAUGUGAUGUUACUUUCGCAAACAUAAGAAUUUGUUCUGUGCCUCUUGUGAUUAAUGCCACAUGUGCUAGGACCAGUAACUUAUGGAAAGAUUCCAUGAGGUCAUAGCACUCUCCACCUCACCUUGUGGAAACUGGUGUUUUCAGAGGAUGAUAAACUUCAGGUGAAGUGAUGCAGUCAGCAAGACCACGCUCUAGAGUGGGGUACACAGCGGUCAUAUUGAGUCCCUGCUGGGAAGAAAUCCAGAAGAGGGAGAAGGCUUGGGUUAGAGGAAGAAUCGUAAAAUAUUUAGAGAAUAUAAGAAGGUAAGAAUUAUGGGGAACUGGAAAACAGAGACAGAGGAAGAAUGAGCACAGAGCAAACUGGGAUGGACAAAGCACAAAUGUACCUGGGUUGUGCCUUCUGCAUGUUCUCUGGACGAUCGCCUUGUGCCUCAUUUCUGGGAGAACACUCUCUUCUCCCCAUAUAAAGUUUGUUUCUUGAAAGAAAGCAGCAACACAACUUCAUCAGUGAAUUCCCUAUUGAAAUUUGUUCGUUCCUUCAAAGCCUCUGGGAAGGCCCUAGCUGGGGAAAGUCCUCUCUGCUGAGAAACAGCAGGAAAGUAGGUUGUCCUCUGUGUUCUCAUUGCGACUGCUCUUCUAAGUGUGGUUGAUUGUUGAUUGAAGACACAGGGCACUUCCAGCAUGUAUGUAUGCUUUAUUCAGUGUGGGUGGCAUUGGCUGUAUCCUGAAAAGAAGGGCAGACCCUUCUGCCUCCUCUUUGACUAGGCUUAAGAUCAUAGUCAGACACUUAACCAUUGGAAGAUGAGACCAAUGUGUCUACAGUGUACUCACUUCUAUUCCUCUUUAGUCCUAGAGGGAAAUCAGUGCCAUCAGCAAGGGUGGGGAAUGGGGCCCUAACUGGACAAACUUGCUGAGCCUGGGUUAUGCAGCCAUGCCGGUGAAUAGCUUCCCCUUACAUUAAGUAAUAAGAUGCCAUGCUCUGGUUGUACCUUCCCUGAUACAGUGAAUCUAUAAUCUCUUGGCCUCAAAACCCAAUAUAUUACAUUGCUUUCACAAGUGGAGUGUCUGGCAUGAGAGGGAUCAUUUCCUCAUAGGGAUUUGGGAACCACUUACAGUCUUCAUUGAGCAUGGGUGUGUCAUCACCUAUGUGACUGUUAGCCCAUAUCUGUGAUUCACUGUCAUUAGGAGGCUAAGCUGCCUCUUCUGACACCCCACAGUGGGCCGGAUACACACCACUCACAACCUGUCUCCUCAGCUCUUGUAUGACAAAAUGUAACCCUACUCCUAAGUCCAUAUGUUGGGUUUAUUUUGUUUUUGGAACAUCCUAACGUUUUCCUAGGAAGAGAUCAGGUGCACCAUUAGGAUAAGCACCAUGCUGCCAGUUCAGCAUUUGCCCAAGUUUGACUUGCCUUGAAGGCCAAAGUUGAUGAUUUUGACUUUUCCAUUCUUCUCUAACAGAAUAUAAUCUGGUUUCAGGUCACUGUGUACUUUUACAGUGCCCAUAGCCGUAGAUUAAGCCUGCUAAUAUUUACCCAAAUAUUUCCUUGACCCUGUACUCCUCUAAGGGGAAAGACUUUCAAAUGUAUUUGUAAAGCUGUAAAAUUUCAACCAGUUUCAUGAUAAGUUAUUAGACUUGUCUCAGACUCAAUUGGAGAAGCAAGAUGAUGUUGGGGUGGAUGAAAAUCUUCAUUAUAUUUCCCAUGGUCAUGUUUGGCUGGCACCAUUGCUUCUUCUUUGCAUGCACUUUGAUAACCCCUGUAGCAGAACUUCCACUGUCCCAACACCUGCACUAUCCCAAGACCUCCACAGUCAAAGGACCAAUAUUGUGGUAGGGUGUCUGUGGUCAGGCAACUUCACUGUCUCAGACCCUCCAAAUUGCAAGACCUUUACGGGCACUGGACGUUACUGUCCCUAAACUUCCACUGUUGGAGUACCUCAACUGUAACAAGGACCUCUAUCAUUGCAGAACCCCCUUGUCAUAGCACCUCUACAAUUAAAAGAAGUCCACUGUCAAAUGACCUCCAGGGUCUCAGCCCCUCCACUGUUGCAGGAUCUCUACUGUCUCAGGAUCACUACUGUUGCAGGACCUCCCCUCUCUCAGCAGCUCCAAUUUGCAGGUGCUCUCCUAUCAGAGGACAUUUACAUUUUCUGUACUUCCAGUGUCACAGCACCUCAACUGUUAAAAGAAUUUCCAUACUCACAGGACCGCCAAUGUCUCAGUAACUCCACUGUCCUAGGACCUUUAUGUUAUAGGACCUCUGCUGACACAAGAUGUCCACUGUUGCUAGACUUCCACUGUCAUAACCACUCAACCAUUACAAGGACCGCAAUUUUGGCAUGACCUCCACUGUCCCAUCCCCUCCAGUGUCAUAGGACCUCCACUCUCACAGGAUAAUGCACUGUCUCAGCAAGGCCAAUUUUCAGGACCUCUACUAGGACAGGAUAUCCAUGGUAGCUGGACGUACAAUGUUGAAGUACCUCAACUGUUGCAGGACCCACAGCGUUGCAGGACAUGGACCCUCUCAGCUUCUAGAAUUUGCAGGACCUCUACUGGCACAGAAAUCCCACUGUUGCUGGAGAUCCACUGUCAUUGAAAAUGCAUUGUCUCAUGAUAUUCACUGUUGCUGGACCAAUAGUGUGGCAGCACCUCCAUUUUAUCCAAACCCCUCCACUGAUGCAGGAUCUCCACUUUUGUCGUACCUUCACUGUCCAAGCAAACCAACUAUUUCAGGAUCUCCAGUGUCUCAGGGCAUUCACUAAUGCCCGUCCUCCAACGUUGUAGGAUAUCCACUUUCUCAACAGCUACACUUUGGCAGGACCUCUAUUGGCAGAGAAAGUCCACUGUUGCUGGACCUCCACUGUCAGUGCAAAUGCACUCAUUCAGGACCUCUACUUUUCUAAGGACCUCUAAUAUUGCAGGACCUCUAAUGUCCCAGGACCUCAAGUGAUGCAGCACCUCCUUUGUCCCAUCACCUUUACUGUCCCAGAACCUCCACUUUCCCAAGACCUAUUCUGUUGCAGGGCCUCCAAAGUUGGAAGAACUGCACUGUAUCAAGACCUCAACUAUUGCAGGACCUCCAUCAUUUUAGGAACACAAAAGUUACACUGUCCAUCACCUUCAUUCUCCUAGCACCUCCACUCUCACAGGACCUACACUGUUGGCAGGAACUCCAAUGUCUAUGCAACUGCACUGUCUCAGGACCUCAAUGUUCCAGAACCUCCAAUGGUGCAGGACCUCCACUGUCAUGGACCUCCACUGUCUCAGGACAUCCACUCUAUCACCACCUAGACUUUUGCAGGACCUCUACUGGCCCAGGAUCUCCAUUGUUGCUGGUCUUACAUUGUCUAAAGACCUCUACUAUCACAGAAAUGCCACUGUUGUAGAACCUUCACUGUCACAGGGCCUCCACUGUCCAAGACCUCCACUGUUGCAGAACAUCCACUCUUGCAGCAUGUGCAUUGUCUCCUGACCUCCACUACAGCAGUCAAAUCUCCACUGUAUCGUGACUUCCACUCGUGCAGGUCUUCCAAUGUUGCAUGACCUCCAAUGUGAAAGUAACUCCACUAUCUCAGUGCCUCCACUGUUACAGGACCUACACUGUCAGAGGAUCUGCACUGCUGCACCAGCUCCACUGUCACAUUUUUGAAAGCAUUGCUUGUUGUUAGUGUUGAGGCUUCAUGAAAUGUGAUGCUACCUCUGAAAAGUUAAGAAUUUCUUCUUCAGCUCUUGUGAUUAAUGUCCAGAUGUGCUAGAUCAGUAGCGCCUAGAAAACUCAAUGAGCCGAUAGCCUUCGAAGCCUCACUUUGUGGGUUCUGUUGUCUUUUGGGAGUGCUAAAGUCCAGGUGAAGGCAUGCGGUCAGAAGGAUAACUCUAGUGUGGGGUACACAUCAGUUGUGUUGAGUUCCUGCUGGGAAGGGUAGAAAUCCAGAACUGAAAGAAGGCUUAGGGUGGAGUAAGAAUCAUACAAUGCUAGAAUAGGUGAAACAGAAACAAUUUUGCAGAAAUGGAAACCAGAGACACAGGAGGAACCAGCACAGAACAAACUGGGUAGGACAAAGCACAAAGGUACCUGCGCUGAGCCUGCCUGCUGCUUGUUCUUUGGAUGUACUCUAGCCUUUAUUUCUCAGGAGAGACACUGUGCUGUCCCAGGAGAGUUUUCUUGCUUGAUUGAGCACAGGAAUACUGCUUGAUUUGGAUAUUCCUAAUUUCUUGGUCCACCCUGUAAAUCAUCUGAGCAUGCUCCUGCUUGGGACAGUCUUGCCCUCUCCUGAGGCCCAGAGGGAUAAUAGGAUGUCUUCUGUGGUUUCAUUGCUGCUUUCGUUCUCCCUGAGGCUGCUUGUUGACUGAAGGCAGAAGACACCCUGCCAUGUAUGUUUUGUCCAGUGUGCUGUCACCUGGAGUGGCCUGAAGAAAAGGCCAGUCCCAGUGGUUCUUCUGAAUCUUCUAUGACUAGAGUUAUGGACAUAGGCAUAAACGAGGCCAUGGGGAAUGACAAGUUCAAUGUGCCAAUGGUGGUUUGGUUUCCACUCCUCUGAAGUCCUAGAGGGAAAGCAGCAUAAUCUUUAAGGGUAGGGAAUGGAGCCCUAACUGGACUCAAUGAGGGAGCCUGGUUGUGAAGACAGCACCUGGAUAGCCUGCCCUUUCAGUAAGCCAUUGGACGCCAUUAUCCGUUAAUAAUUUUUUUUUGAUUUAAAGAAUCUUUAUUUCUUGGGCUUAGAACUGAAUAUAUUACAUCACUUCCACAAUUCUAGGGUGUGGCCUGAGGUAUCAUUUCCUCAUAGGGAUUUGGGAAACCCUCCCAUUAUUUGAAGCAAGGUUGCAUUAUGAGGUUUGUGACUGUCAGCCUAUAUCUGGGGUUUACUGUGAUUAAGAGAUAAUGAUGAUGGUUGACCAUCAUAAACGUUGACAAAGAGGAGUUCAGGGGCAACAGAAGUGUAAGCACCACAGUGGUGCUUCAGCAUUUGCCCUGGUUCAACUCGGAUACUAAGGCGAAAUUCGAUUAUUUUGUUUUUUUCCAUUAAUAUCCAAGAUAAAUACUAUUUGGCUUCAGGUCCCUGUGAAAUAUUGUGUGCCCAGGGCAGUAGUUCAUCACUGCUAAUAUUUGCAAUAUAUUUUACUGACUUGUCCUGCUUUAGGUAGCCAUACUUUUGGAUGUAUUUGUAAAACUGUUGAGCUUCAACAAGCUCCAAGACAAGAUAUAAUAUUGUUUUGGUCUCAAUUAUUUGAAGAAGCCACGUGAUGUUGGGGUUGUCACCCAUCAUCAUCACUGCCAUGGUCAUUACUGGCUGGCAUUAUUAUUUCUCCAUUACAAGGACUUUGACAGCCACUGUCACAGGACCUAAUCUGUGGUAGAACCUCCACUCUCAGGGCAACUCCACUUUCUCAGGACCUCCAAAUUGCAGGACCUCCCCUGGCAUAGAAUGUACAUUUUUGCAGGACUUUCACUCUUGUAGCAACUCAACUCUUAAAAGACAUCCACUUUAGCAAGAUUUCCAGUGUCUUAGCACCUCCCUUCUUGAAGGACCCCCACUAUUGUAGGACCUCCACUGUUGCAGCACAUCCAUUCUCUCAGCAUCUAGAAUUUUGCAGAAUGUCAACUGGCAUAGAAAGUCCACAGUUGCUGGUUCUUCAAUGUCAUGAUAAAUCCACCGUAUCAGGACCUUCACUGUUGCAGGACCUCCAGUGUUGAAGCACAUACACUGUUUCAGGGCCACCACUAUCACAGGACCUUCUCUGUCACAGGAUCGCCACUCUCUCAGCACUUAUGCAGUCACAGGACCUUCAUUGCUUUGGACCUCCACUCUUGGAGAACCUCCACUGGUCAAGCACAUCCACUAUCUCAGAAACUCCAGUGUAUCGGGACAUUCACUGUUGCAGGAUCUCCCAUGUCUUAGCACACGUAUUUUUGCAGGACCUCCACUCUCGCAGACUCAUCUCUACUGUUUCAGGACCUACACUAUAACUGUUGGACCUCUAAUGUCACAGGACCUCAAAUGACACUGGAUCUCCACUGUCCAAUCACCUUAACUGUCCCAACUCCUUCACUGUCGCAGGACCUACACUGUUGCAGGACCUCCAAUAUCGGACCAAUUUCCUGUCUCAGGGACCUCCAAUGUUGCAUGACCUCCACUGUUAAAAGAUAUCCACAGUUGCAGAAUAGCUAGUAGAGUUUUGCAGGACCUGUAGUGGCCCAGGACCUCCAUUGCUGAUGGUCCUCCACUGUCUCAGUACCUUAACUAACACAGGACCUCCACUGUUGCAGCACCUCCACUGUCCUAGGAUGUCCACUAUUGCAGACAACCUCAGUCUUAAGUACCUCCAUUUUUGAAGGACCUCCAUGGUGCAGGACCCCCACUCUUAGAGUGCCUCCAUUGUUGUAGCACCUCCACUGUCCCAGCCUCAUCUCCACUGUCUCAGGACCCAUAUUAUUGCAGGAUCUCCAAUGUUGCUGGACUUCUACAGUUGCAGUACCUCCACUGUUGCAGGACCUACACCGUAGCAGGAUCUGCACUGUUGCACCAAUUCUACUUUCACAUUUUGUUGACAUUGCUGGUUAUUAGAUUUGAGUCUUAAUGGAAUGGGAUAUUACUUUUGAAAACACAGGAAUUUUUUCUGCAUCACAUGUGAUUGAUGACCACAUAUUCUAGGACUGAUAUCCCCUGGAAGAUUCCAUGAGCCCUUAGUCCACCAGUCUUCACCUGGUCGGAGGUGUUGUGUUUUGGGAGAAGUUGAAUCCAGGUUAAGGGAUGGGAUCAGCAGGACACAGUUCUGUAGAGUGGGCUACAUAUCAGUCAUAGUGAGUCCCCUCUGGGAUGAGUAGAAAUCCAGAACUGAGAAAAUGCUAUUACAGGCCCUCCAUUGUCUAAACACCUCCACUAUUGCAGAACCUCCACUGUCCAUACAUCAACCAGCUCCACUGUCCCAGAGCCUGAGAUGUUGAAGAAUCUCCACUGUCACAGGACCUCCAUUGCUGCAGGACCUCCACUGUCACAGGACCUCCAAUGACUCAGCAACUACACUUUUGUAGGACCAGCAUUGGCACAGGAUAAGCACUGUUGGUAGGCCCUCCACUAGCCUAUAACCUCCACUGUCCCAGAACUUCCACUGUUGUAGCACUACCAGGGUCAAAGCAACUACAGUGUUUCAGGACAUCAACUGAAGCAGGACCUCUAAUGAUGCUGCAGCUUCACUGUCACAGGAUCUCUACAUUUACAGGAAUACUCCUGGAUCAGCAAUUACAAUUUUGCAGGACCUCAGUUGUCACAGGACCACCGCUGUAGCCAAAUCUUCAAUUGUGCAGCAUCUCCACUGUAGGUAGAAUGACCUCCCCUAUCGCAGUGCCUCCACUUUCAAAGGACCUUCACUGUCACAGAACCUGCACUAUUUCAGUGCCUCCACUGUUACAGGACCUACCUCUUCACAGGAUCUGCACUAUUGCAGCAACUCUAAUUACACUUUUUCAAAGGCAUUACCAGUUAUUAGAUUUGAAGAUGAAUGGAAUGUAAUGUUACUUUUGAAAACAUAAGAAUUUGUCCUGUAUCAUUUGUGAUUAAUGGCCACAUGUGCUAGGACCAGUAACCUAUGGAAGAUUCCCUGAUCUGAUAGCUCUGUAGCCCUCAUCUUGUUGAAGCUGUUGUGCUUAGAGGGUCAUACAGUUCAGGUGAAGGGAUUGGAUCAGCAAUACAACUGUGUGGAGUGGAGUACAAUUAAGUCGUAUUGAGUCCCAGCUGGGAAAAGGAGAAAUCCACAAGACAGAGAAAUCUUGUGGUGGAGGAAGAAUCGUGAAGUACUUAGAGAGUAUAAGAAGGUAAGAAUUGUGGGGAAAUGGAAAACAGAGCCAAAGGAAGAAUGACCACAAAGCAAAGUGGGAGGGGUAAAGCACAAAGGUACCUCGGUUGUGCCUUCUGCUUGUUCUCGGGCUGCUCUCGCCAUGCCUCAUUUCUGAGAGAACACUGUUCUGCCUCAUGUAAGGUUUCUUUCUUGAUGUAAAGCAGAAACACAACUUGAGGGAUUCUCUCAUCUUCUUGGUCCAUCCUUUAAGUCCUCUGGGAAGGCCCCAGCUGGGGAAAGGCCUGCUCUCAGCUGACAAACACCUGGAGAAUAGGUUGUCCUUUAUGUUCUAAUUGGUGCUGCUCUUGUAAGUGUGUCUGCUUGCUGAGUAAAUGCAGGGGAAACCUCUGUCAUGUAUAUAUGCUUUGUCCAGUGUGGCUGUCAUCGGAAGUGUCCUGGAGAGAAGUGCAGUCCAGUGACUCUUCUGCUUCCUUUUGACUAGCCUCAUUAUUAUAGGCAGACAUUAGACCCUUGGAAGAUGAGGAGACCAAUGUGUCUAUGGUGUUCUCACUUCUACUCCUCUUCAGUCCUAGAGGGAAAUCAGUGCCAUCACCAGGGGUAGGGAAUGUUGCCAUAACUGGACAAACUUGCUGACCUUGGGAUCUGCAGCAAUGCCCAUAGAGAGCCUGCCCUUACAGUAAGCAAUGGGAUGCCACGGUCUGGUAAUAUUUUCUUUGAUGUAAUAUAUCUAUAAUAUCUUAGGCUCAAAACCCAAAAUAUCCAAUUGCUUCCACAUUAGCAGUGUCUGGCGUGAGGGGGAUCAGUUCCUCCAAGGAUUUGGGAACCAAUUCCAGUCUUCAUUGACCAGGGGUACAUCACUACUUCUAUGACUAUCAACCCAUAUCUGGGGUUGACUGCCAUUAAGAUGCUACACAGAUCUCCAGCUCUUCGGACAUCCCACAGUGGGCAGGAUACACACCGGCCACAACAUGUCUUCUCACCUUUUUAUAACAACUGAGUCAAAUCCUACAACAGUGAAAUAUAAGCCUACUCCUUAACUCAAAUAUUGCUCUUUGUUCCAUUACAAUGUUUGCCUAGGAUGUAAUAACAGGCAUCAAAAUUGUAAACACCGUAGUGCCAGCUCAUCGUUUUCUCAGGUUCAACUUUGCUAGGAAAGGCCAAAGUUGAUGAUUUUGACUUUUCUGUUCUUGUGUAACAAAAUAUCACUCGAUUUCAAGUCUCCGUGAACUACACCGUGCCCAUCACAGUAUAUCGAGUCUGCUAAUAUUUGCCUAAAUAUUUCCCUGACCUUGUCUUCCUCGAGGUGGCAAGACUUUCAGAUGAAUUUGUAAAGCUAUAGAAUUUCAACCAGCUCCAUGAGAAGGUAUAGAUGUGUCUCAGACUCAAUUACUUGGUGAAGCAAUAUGAUAUUGGUGUGGAUGAAUAUCUUCAUUAUAUUGGCCAUGCUCUUGUCUGACUGUCACCCUUGCUGCUUCUUUGCAUGCACUUUGAUAACCACAGUAGCAGGACUUUCACUGUCCCAGUCACUGCACUAUCCUAAGACCUCCCUUGUCACAGGACAUCCACUGUGGUAGUACCGCAUCUGUCAGGAAACUCCACAGUCUCAUUACCUCCAAACUGCAAGAUCUCUACUGGCACAGGAAUUGUACUGCCCCUGGACUUCCACUGUCACAGCACUUCAACUGUUACAAGGACCUCUACUGUUGUAAGACCUCCUAUAUCACAGCACCUCCACGGUGACAAGGACCUGCAUUGUCAAAAGACCUCCAGUGUCUCAGCCCCUCCACUGACUCAGGACUUUCAAAUUGCAGGAACUCUACUAGCACAGGUCAUCCACAGUUGCAGUUCCUCAACUGUUAUAAGGACCUCCAUUUUUGCAGAACCUUCAGUGUCCCUGCACCUUCACAGUCUCAGCAACGCCAACUUGCAGGACCUCUACUAGCACAGGAUGUCCACAGUAGGUAUACUUACACUGUUGCAUUACCUCAAUUGUUGCAGGACCUCCGAUGUGGUAGGACAUCCACAUUUUCCGCAGCUAGACUUUUGCAGGACCUCUACUGGCCCAAAAAAAUUCCUCUGUUCUGGACCUCCACUGACAGUGCAAAUGCACUGUCUAGGACCUCCACUGUUGCAAGACCUCCGAUGUUGAAGGAUGUCCAUUGUUUUAGGACAUUCCCUGUCAAAGAACCUCAACUGACACACAACCUCUGCUUUUGUAGGUUUUUCACUGUCCUAGAAAACCAAGUAUUGCAGGAAUUAUAAACUUGGAGCAACUGCAUUGUAUUAGGACAUUUACUGUUGCAGGACCUGCAGUGUGGUUGCACCUCCAUUUUAGCCAGGUCUCAACUGUACCAGGCUCAUCUCUGCUGAAUCAGCUCCUCCAACACUGCAGAACAUCCAAUAUUUCAGGUUCUCAAACAUCCCAGGACCCCAAUUGAUGAAGGACUUCCAAUGUUGCAGGACCACAAUAGUCACAGGUCCUCCACUGUCCCAUCACUUUUAUUUCUCCCAGCACCUCCACUCUCACAUGGCCUACAAUGUUGCCUAACCUCUAAUGUCUGAGCAACUACACUGUCUCAGGACCUCGAUUGUUCCAGAACCUCCAAUGGUGCAGGACCUCCACUGUCACCAGUUCUCCACUGUCUCAGAACAUCCACUCUAUCAUCGACUAGACUUUUGUAGAACCUCUCCUGGCAAAGCAUCUCCAUUGUUGCCAGCCUUACAUUGUCUCAAAACCUCCACUAUCACAGGAGUGCCACUGUUGUAGAACCUCCACCGUAAUAGACCUCCACUGUUGGAGGACCUCCCCUGUCUAAACACAUCCACUAUUGCAGGACCUCCACUGUCCAAGGAAUUCCGCUGUUCCAGGACAUUCACUCUUGCAGCACAUGCAUUGUCUCUGGACUUCCACUGUACCAGUCCCAUCUCCAAUGUCUCAGGACCUCCACUCUUACAGGACCUCCAAUGUUCACAACCUCAAAUACAAAACUGCACUAUCCCAGUGCCUCCACAGUUGCAGGCCCCAAACUGUCACAGGAUCUGCACUGUUUCAUUAAUUCCCCUGUCCCUUUUUUGAAAGCAUUGCUGGUUAUUAGUUUUGAGGCUUAAUGGAAUGUGAUGGUAUUUUUGAAAAAAUAACAAUUUUUCCUGCACAUCUUGUGAUUAAUUACCAGAUGUGCUAGGAUCAGUUGCCCCUAGAGGUGUGCACGAGCCCACAGCCCUCUAGACCUCACCUUGUGGCAGCUGUUUUGUUUCGGGGGUGUUACAGUCCAGGUGAAGGCAUGGGGUCAGCAGGACAACUCUGUAGUCCGGGGUACACAUCAGUCACAUUGAGUCCUUGCUGGGAAAAGGAGAAAUCCAGAAGAGGGAGAAGGCGUGGGGAGGAGGAAGAAACAGACAGUACUUACAGAAGUUAAAUGGAAACUAUUUGCAGAAAUGGAAACCAGAGACACAGGAGGAAUCAGCACAGAGCAAACUGGGCAGGACAAGGCACAAAGGUACCUGGGCUGUGCCUGCCUGCUGCUUGUUCUUUGGAUGCUGUGUCUAUCCCUCAUUUCUCAGGACAGACACUGUCCUGUCCCAGGGGAGUUUUCUUGCAUGACGAACAAAAGAACACUGCUUCAUUUGGAUAUUCCUAAUUUCUUAGACCAUCUCUUAAAUCCUCUGGGCCAGGCCAUGCUGGGGACAGACUUGCCUACUCCAGAGGCACAGAGAGAUAAAAGCAAAGGGUAAUCAUCAUAGUGUUGGUUCUGUAUUUGCCCUAUAUCAACUUGGUUCAUAAGGCCAAAGACCAUGACUUUGACUUUUCCUUUCUUGUCCAAGAAAAUAUCAUGUAUUGUCUUCUGUGUUGUCAUUACUGCUUCUGUUCUCCCUGAGACUGCUUGUUGACUGAAGGCAGCAGACACUCUAGCAUGUAUUCUUUGUCCUGCAUGGGUGUCAUCUGGAGUGCCUGGAGGAGAAGGCCAGUCUCAGUGGUUCUUAAUCCUCUAUGACUAGCGUUAUGGACAUAGGCAGAAAUGAGGCCAGGGGGGAUGACAAGUCCAAUGUGCCAAUGGUGGGUUGGUUUCCACUCUAAAGUCCUAGUGGGAAAGCAGCAUAAUCAUAAGGGUAGGGAAUGGAGCCAGUCUGAGACUGGUUGUGAAGCCAGGCACUUGGAUAGCCUGCCCUUCCAGUAAGCAAUUGGAGGCCAUGGUCUGGUUAUACUAUCUUUAAUAUAAAGAUUCUUUAUAUCUUGGGCUUAGAACUGAAUAUAUUUUAUUACUUUCCUCCCAUUCUUUGAAGCAGGAUUGCGUUAUUACAUCUGUGAUUGUCAGCUUAUAUCUGGGGUUUACUGUUAGUAAUAGAAAAUUAUGAUGGUUGACCAUAAACAUUGACAAAGAAGAGUUCAAGGGCACCAAAAUUGUAAGCACCAUAGUGCCGGUUUAGCAUUUGCCCUGUUCAAUUGGGGUACUAUGGAUAAAGUUGCUGAUUGUGGCUUUUCCAUUGAAAUCCAACAUUAUAUUAUAUGGCUUCAGGUAGCUGUGAAACAUUGUGUGCCCAUGGCAGUAGAUCAUCACUGUUGUUCUUUGCAAAAUAUUUUCCUGACCUUGUCCUGUUCUAGGUAGCCAUACUUUUGGAUGAAUUUGGAAAGCUGUUGACCUUCAACAAGCUCCAUGAUGAGACAUAAUUUUGUUUUGCUCACAAUGACUUGAAGAAGUGAGAUCAUGUUGAGGUGGUUACCCAUUAUCAUUACUGCCAUGGUCAUUACUGGCUGGCUCAUUGCUUCUACAUUAGCAGGACUUUGAUGUCCACUAUGCAGCAACUCCACUGUGAUAGAUACUCUGCUGUCUAGGCAACUCCACUUUCUAAGGACUACGAAUUUGAGGACAUCUACUAGCACAGGAUGUACACAUUUGCUGGACUUUCACUGUUGCAGCAACUCAACUCUUAAGGGAUGCCCACUGUUGCAGGUUUUCCAGUGUAUCAGGCUGCCACUCUUGAAGGACCUUCACUAUUGUAGGACCUCCACUGUUGAAGCACAUCGAUUAUAUCACCAACUAGAAUUUAUAGGAUGUCAAUUGGCACAGAAAGUCCACUGUUGCAUGACCUCCAUUCUCACUGUAAAUCUACUGUCUCAGGACCUCUACUUUUGUAGGACCUCCAGUGUUGAAGGAUUUCCACUCUUGCAUGUCCACCACUGUCACAGGACCUCCUCUGUCACAGGACUUCCACUCUUCCAGGCUCAUCUCCACUGUCUCAGGACGUCUACUAUAUCUCUAGGACCUCCAAUGUCGCAGGACCUCAACUGACACUGGACCUUCACUCUCCAAUCACCUUAACUAUCAAAGAACCUCCACUGUCUCAGGACCUUCACUGUUUCAGGGCCUCCAAUGUUGGAGCAACUGAACUGCCUCAGGGGCAGGACCUCCAAUGUUCCAGGACCUCCAUUGUCACAGGGCCUCCACUGUCACAGGAUAUCAACUCUUUUAGACUUUUGCUGGACUUCUGCUGGCAUGUGACCUCCAUUGUUGAGGGUUCUCCACAGUUUCAUUACUUUUACAAUGACAGGAAUACCAUUCUUGCAGAACCUCCACUGUCCCAGGACCUCCAGUAUUUCGGACUUCCUCAGUCCAAGUAGCUCCAUUAUUGAAGGACAUCUCUGGUUGCAGGACAUCCACUUUUACAGUGCCUCCAUUGUUAUAGGACACCCACUGUUCCAGCCUAAUCUCCACUCUCUCAUUAUCUCCAAUAUUUUAUGAUUGCCAAUAAUGGUGGACUUCCAUUGUUACAGUAAUUCCACUAUCUCUGUGCCUACAUUGUUCCAGGACCUACACUGACUCAUGAUAGGCACAGCUGCAUCAAGUUCACUUUCAAUUUUUCUUGACAUUGCUAGUUAUUAUAUUUGACCCUUACUGGAAUGUGAUGUUACUAUGUGAUGUUACUUUUGAAAGCCCAAGAAUUUGUUUUUUUAGCACAUGUGACUGAUUUCCACAUGUUCUAGGACUGUUAUCCCCUGGAAGAUCACAAGAGCUCAUAUUCCUCUAUUCCUCACGUUGUGGGAGCUGUUGCCUUUCAGAGGGUAAUGCAAUUCAGGUGAAAGGAUAGGAUCAGCAAGUGAUAACUUUGUAGAGUGGGGUAUACAUCAGUCACAUUGAGUUCCUGAUGGGAAGAGGAGAAAUCCAGAACAGGAAUAACCCUUGGCAUAGAGGAAGAAUCAAACAGUACUUACAGAAGGUAAGAAGGUACCAAUUUUAAGGAAAUGGAAAUGAUAGAGGAAGAACCAGCACAGAGCCAACUGAGUAGGACAAAGCACCAAGGUACCUGGGCUGUACCUGGUCCUUGUUCUCUGCAUGCUAUCCUUAUUCCUUCUUUUUGGGGAGAAUCUCUGUCCUGCCUCUUGUGAAGUUUCUUUCUUGAUGUAAAGCCAUGACAAAGGUUCAUCAGGGAACUUCCCCCAUUUCUUCCUCCAUCUCUUAAAGCCUCUGCUCUGACACCACCUGGUGAAUAUGUUGCACUCUUCUGAAGCACAGACAGAGAAUAUGUUGUUUUUUCUGUUCUCAUUGAUGCUGCUCUUCUCCCUGAAGCUGCUCAUUCAGUAAAUGUGGGAGACAGUGUCUUUUGUCCAGUGUUGGUGUCAUCUGGAGUGGCCUGAAGAGAAGGCCAGUCCCACUGGGUCUUCUGCCUACUCUAUAACAAGCAUUUUGGAUAAAAACAGAAGUUAGACCAUUGGAAGAUGACGAAACUAAUGUGCUGAUGCUGGGCUGGCUUCUGCUCUUCUUUAUUCCUAGAGGGAAAGCAGCAGCAGCAUCAAUGUUAGGGAAUGGUGCCAUAACUGUUCUCACUAGGUGACACUGUGUUGUGCAGCCAUGUCCCUUGAUAGCCUGCCCUUGCAGUAAGCAAUAGGAUGCCAUGGUCUUGAUAUACUUUUUUUGGUACCUGUAGUAUCUAGGGCUUGGAACCAAAUAUAUUGUAUUGCUUCCACAAUUGCAAGUUCUGUCCUGAGUGUGAUCAGUUGCUCAUAGGGAUUUGGGAAUGCUUUUCUGUCUCUCUUGAACUAGAUUUGCAUGAUGGCAUCCAUGACUGUCAGCCUGUAUCUGGGGUUUACUCUCAUUAAGAACUUAUGCAGGUCAUCCAGCUCUUCUCAUAUCCCACAGGGGGCAGGAUUCACACAGGCUACAACCUGACUUCUCACCCCUUUUAUGACUAGUGAAAUGAAACCUCUGACUACCAUGAAAUGUAAGACUACUCAUGUCUUCCCUGUGUCAUUCUUUGGACUAUCAUAAAAUUUGCCUAGAUAGAGCUCCACGGCAGCAAAAGGUAAUCAUCAUAGUGUCGGUUCUCUAUUUGCCCUAUAUCAACUUGGUUCAUAAAGCCAAAGACCAUGACUUUGACUUUUCCUUUCUUGUCCAAGAAAAUAUCAUGUGUUUUGAGGUUUCUUUGAACUAUUAUGUGACUAUGGCAGUAGUUCAUGUCUGAUAGUAUUUACCUAAAUGUUUCCCUGGUUUUGUUCUCCACCAACUGGCCAGCUGUUCAGACGUGUCUGUAAAACUGGUGACCUUCAAGUAGCGUCAUGACAAGGUAUUGUCUUGUUUCAGACUCAAUUACUUGGAGUAGUGAAAUGAUGUUGGAAUGGUCAAAAAUCAUCAGUACAUGUGCCAUCUUCAUUACUGGCUGUCACCCUUGCUUCUUCUUUACCAGCACUUUGACAGCCACUGUAGCAGGACAUCCACUGUUCCAGUAUGGUAAUGACCCAGCACCUCCACUAUCACCGUUCUUCCACUCUUGCAGGACCUCCCCUCUUGCAGGACCUCCACUCUUGCAGCACCUGCAUUUAGUCAGGACCUCCACUGUACCAGUCCCAUCUCCAUUUUCCCAGGACCUCUACUAAUGCUGGUCCUCCAAUGUUGCCUGACCUCCAAUGUAAAAGUACCUGCACUAUCUCAUUACCUCCAGUAUUGCAGGACCUACAUUGUCACAGGAUCCACACUGUUUACUAAGUCCACCGUCACUGUUUUGAAGGAAUUGCAGGCUAUUAUUUUUGAGGCGUAAUGGAAUGUGAUGUUACUUCUGAAAACUUAAGAAUUUGUUCUUCAGCUCUUGUGAUUAAUUGCCAGAUAUGUUAGGAUCAGUUGCCUCUGGAAGAUUCCAUUAGCCCAUAGUAGGCCUCUAGGCCUGACCUUGUGGGAGCUGUUGUAUUUUGGGGUGCUCUAAGUACAGAUGAAGGCAUUGGGUCAGCAGGACAAGUCUGUAGAGUGGGGUACACAUCAGUCAUAUUUAAUGCCUGCUGGGAACUAGAGAAAUAUAGAACAGCAAGAGGGCUUGGCAUAGACCAAGAAUCAUAUAGUACUUACAGAAGUUAAAAAGGAAACAAUUUUGAACAAAUGGAAAUCAGAGACACAGGAGGACCAUCAUAGAGUAAAUUGGGUAGGACUUAGCACAAAGGUACCUGGGUUGUGCCUGCAACUUGUUCUCUGGAUGCUCUCCCUGUGCUUCAUUUCUCAAAAGAGACAAGGCGUUCUGCCUCAGGUGAGAUUUCUUUCUUGAUGGAGAGCAGCAACACAUUUCAUCAGGACAUUUUUUUAUUUCUUGUUCCAUCCUUAAAGCCUUUUGGAUGGCCACUACUGGGGACAGUGUUGCCCUCUCCUUAGGCACAGAGGAAUAAUAGGUUGUCUUCUGUGUUCUCAUUGCUUCUUCUUUUCACCGUGAGGCUGCUUGUUGACUGAAGGUAGAAGACACCCUGGCAUGUAUGUUUUGUCCAGUGCAGGUGUCCUCUGGAGUGGCCUGAAGAGAAGGCCAGUCUCAGUGGUUCUUCUGAAUCCUCUAUGACUAGAAUUAUGAACAUAGGCAUAAACAAGGCUAUGGGAGAUGACAAGUCCAAUGUGCCAAUGGUGGGUUGGUUUCCACUUCUCUGCAGUUCAGGCCUAGUGCGGAAGUAGCAUACUCAUCAAGGGUAGGGAAUGGAGCCAUAACUGGAGUAACUGUCUGAGGCUGGUUGUGAAGCCAGGCACCUGGAUAGCCUGUCCUUACAGUAAUCAGUUGAAUGCCAUGAUCUGCUUAGACUUUCUUUGAUAUAAAGGAACAUUAUGUCUUGUGUUUUGAAUGGAACAUAUUGCAUUACGGCCAAAAUUCCAGGGUGUGGCUUGAGAGGUAUCAUUUCCUCAUAGGGAUUUGGGAAAUGCUCCCAUUCUUCUUUGAAGCAGGGGUGCAUUAUCAUGUCUAUGAUGGAUAUAUCUGGGUUUGACUGUCAUUAAGUUGCUAAGCAGGUCAUCUAGCUCUCUUGACACCCAACAGUGGUCAAGAUACACACCUGCCACAUGUCUUCUCAACUCAUGUAUGAAAAUAGAAGCAACAUUUCCAACUACCUUAAAAUGUAAGACUCUAGCAUUCAUAUGUGGUUCUUUGAACCAUCAUAAAUUUAUCCUAGGAAGAGUUCAUGGGCAUCAAAAGUGUUAGCACCAUUGUACAGGUUCAGCAUUUGCUCUGAUUGUCUUGGGUACUAAGGUCAAAGUCAAUGAUUUUGGCUUUUUGUUUCUUAUCCAACAUAUUAUUUGUUUGUCCUGUGAUUAUUCUGUGCCCCUGAGAGUAGAUCCAGGCUGUUAAUAUUUGCAUAAACUUUGCCAGGCCUUGUCCUUCACUAUGUAGCUAUACUUUGAGAUACAUUUGUAAAGAUGUUGAACCUCACCCAGCUCCAUGACAAGGUAUCCACUUGUUUUGGUCUCAAUUACUUGUAGAUGAUGUUGGGGUAGAUAAACACAAUUGUUGUCAUUGCCAUGGUCAUUACUGGAUGGCAUAAGUGCUUCUUCCUCACAAGGACUUGGAGGCCACUGUAUCAGAACAUCCACUGUCUUAGCACCUGCUUUUUCCCAACACAUCCACUGUACUGUCUGUCCAAGCCUAUGUUUUGUUGCCUUGCCCCUGAACUUCCUGCCAUUGCAGAAGGAAAUAGGAUGACAUGGUCUGGUUAGUAUAUUAUCUGGUUGAAGUGUCCUUAGUUUCUAGGGCUUAGAACCCAAUGUAUUCCAUUGCUUUUUCACAUUAGCAGGGUCUGGCCUGAGGGGGAUCAGUUGCUCAUAGGGAUUUGGGAACUGCUUCUAGUCUUAGUUGAACUAGGGUUGCAUCAUGACCACAAUGACUGUUGGCCUAUAUUUAUGGUUGACUAUCUUUAAGAGGCUAAGUAGGUCCUCCAGCUCUUCUGACACCCCACCAGAGGCAGCAUAUACCUCUAUUACAGCCUGUCUUCUCAGCUCCAAAAUUAAGAGAGAAUCAAAUGGAAACUUUCUGACUGCCAAAAAUUAUAAAAUUCCACCCAAGGUCCAUAUUUUGUUCUUUGGAACAUAAUAAAAUUUUUCAAAUAAGAGUUCAGGGACACCAAAAGUAUAAGUAUCGCAGUGCUGGUUCAGCAUUUCCCCUGGGUAGAAUGAGGUACUAGGCCAAAGUUCAUAAUCUUGACUUUUCAAUUGAUAUACAAACCAGCACUCUUUGGCUUCACGUCCCUGUGAAGUAUUGUUUGCCCGUAGAAGUGGCUCAUCACAGCUAUUAUUUGCACAAUAUUUCCCUAGCCUUGACUUGCUCUAGGUAGGCAUAUUUUGGCACACAGUAAGCAAGAUGAUCUCCUGGUUUGAUUAUGCAUUGUAAUAUCUUAGACUCAGAAUCCAUUAUGGUGCAGUUCUUCCACAAAUGCAGGGUCUAGCCUGACAGAGCUCAGUCCUUCAUAGAGAUUUGGGAAAGACUUUCAGUCUUCCUUUAACCAGGGGUACAUCAUCCCAUCUGUGACUGUCAACCUAUAUUUCAUGUUGACUAUCAUUAGGAGGCUAAGAGGUCCUCCAUCUCUUCUGACACCCCGCAGGGGUUAGGAUACAUACAUGCCACAAUGGUCUUCUCAAUUGUAGUAUGAAUACAGAGUAAGAUCUGACUUUUUUAACUACCAUGAAAUGUAAAACUCAGGUCCAUUUGUCAUUCUGUGGACUAUCAUAAAGUUGCUGAGGAAGAGUUCAGGAGCUCCAAAAGAGAAAGCACCACAGUGCCACUUCAGCAUUGCCCUGGUUCAACUAGGGUUCUAAGGCAAAAGUCUAUGAUUUUGACUUCUCCAUUUAUGUCCAAUGGUAAAAUUAUCAGGUUUCUGUUCCCUGUGCACUAUACCCUGGUCAUUUCAUUAGCUCACAGUUAUGAUUAUUUGCCUAAAUAUUUCCCUGCCUUUGUCCUCCCCUAGGUGGCCCCAUUUUCAGGUGCUUUGGUAAAGCUGUUGUCCUUCAACAAGUUCUUACUUGCAGAAGUGAGAUGCUGUUCAGGUGGUCGACCAUCAUUGUCUCUGCCUUGGUCAUGAGUGUCAGGCACCAUUGCUUCUUUAGAAGGGGUUCGAUUGCUCUGGGGCUGCCACUGAGUCGAAGGCGUUGCUCCUGUGUCCCAUGGUCCUUAAGACUUUGUAUUGAGAGUGGAAUUUUCCCUCAUCAGAAAUUCUGCUGAGGGCUAGGGUGUGGGGUCUGCUCUUUACUAUGUGUAAGCAUUGUAGCUAAAGAUACUACAAAUAUUACCUACAAAUAACUUAAAAGUAUAGAAUAAAAAUAGUGGAAAAGAUGUAGGGAAACUGAAGCUAAAUUCACAGCAUGUGUUUACUAAAAUGACCCAAAUGUCUUUGGGAUUGCAAUUUAUUCUUUUAUUUGUUUUUGUUUUACUUUUUGUUUUUGUUUUUUUCUUUGUUUUUUGGCUCUCUCAAGAGGGCAACCCUGUAGUGCAAUAGAUCACAUAUUCAGAUGAUGUCAGGUGAAAUAGUCAUUGGCCACAUAAAGGCUAAAGCCUGUGUUUGGGCAAUGGAAGGAAAGACACAGCAGAACUUUUUGGGGAAUGGAGAGAAAGAAGAAUAGAGGCGGAAGAUUCGGGCAAGAAGAAGAUGGGGGAGAAAGAGGUUGAAAAUGGAGCAGGCACACGUGGCUUGCAGGAGCCACAAGUAGGUAGAGAUUUUAUAAAUGGGCAAUAGAGUAGUGUAGUGGUAGAUUUGUCUAAUCUAAGCACUCAGCUUAUAAUUAUAUAAUUGAGUUUUCUGUUUUUGCAUGGGCCUUUUGGCGUUGGAGAUUUACCCCUAUAAAUCUGGCUAGUAGAAGCUUCUUGGGUUUUCAUUACAAAAGACUAAGGCAAAUCCUGUGAGAGGAGCAUUGGCCAGCCUUCUGCAGGUCGGGGAGAUGGGGUGGAUGAGAUAAGAAACGCAAGCAGCAGUCCAGGCAUUUCAGAUUAAAGUUGUUUGGUUAGAGUAGCAAACUAGGAGCAGGAACCAGGCAAGAUGGAUGCAUAGACCUGGCCAUGUGGAUUGAGCAUUACCACUGAUACCAGAGCAUAGCAGGAAUUUGCAUUCCUGUGUUCUCAUUGCUGUUGUGUUCUCUCUGAGGAUGAUUGUUGAAUGAAUUCAGGCGACACUGCUGCCGUGGAUGUAUGUUUGUCCAGUGUGGGUGUAAUCUGGUGUGGCCUCAAGAAACAAAGGGCCGCCCCAGUGACUCUUCUGCCUACUUUUUGACCAGAUUGUGGUCAAAGGAAGUCACUAGACCAUUGGAUGAUGAUGAGGCCUGUGCGUAUAGGGCGAGGUAGCUACCACUCCUCUACAGCCCAACAGGAAUGCAUCAUCAUCAUCAAGGAAAGGGAAUAACUGGACUCAAUGUGUGAGCCUCCAUUGUUCAGCCUUGCACCUGGAGAACUUGCCUGUACAGUAAGCCACAUGAUCCCAUGGUUUUAUUUUAUAUUACAAUUUCUUAGGCUCUGAACCCAGUAUGUUCUAUUUCUUCCACAAUUGCAGGGUCUAGCCUGACAGAGCUCAGUCCUUCAUAGGGAUUUGGGAAAGCCUUUCAGUCUUCCUUUAACCAGGGGUACAUCAUCACAUCUGUGACUCUCAACCUAUAUUUCGUAUUGACUAUCAUUAAGAGGCCAAGAGGUCCUAUAUCUCUUUUGACAUCCCACAAAGGUUUGGAUACAUACUUGCCACAAACGGUCUUCAAAACUGUAGUAUGAAGACAGAGUAAAAUCUGACUUUUUUAAUCUACCAUUAAAUGUAAAACUAUGGUCCAUAUGUCAUUCUGUGGACUAUCAUAAAGUUUGCUGAGGAAGAGUUCAGGAGCUCCAAAAGAGAAAGGACCACAGUGCCAGUUCAGCAUUGCCCUGGUUCCACUUGAGUUCUAAGGUGAAAGUCGAUGAUUUUGACAUUUCCAUUUAUGUCCAUCAUAAACUUAUCAGGUUUAGAUUCCCUGUGUACUAUACCCUGGUCAUGGCAUUAGCUCACAGUUGCAAUUAUUUGCCUAAAUAUUUUUUGCCCUUGUCCUCCUCUAGGUGGCCCCACUUUCAGGUGUUUUGGUAAAGCUGUUGUCCUUCCACAAGCUCUUACUUGUAGAAGUGAGAUGCUGUUCAGGUAGUCAACCAUCAUCAUUGUCUCUGCCUUGGUCAUGAGUGACAGGCACCAUUGCUUCUUUAGAAGCAGUUCCAUGGCCAUGGGUCUGCCACUGAGGCAAAGGCGUUGCUCCUGCGUCCCCUGGGCUUUAAGACUUUGUUUUGAGAGUGGAAGUGUCCCUCAUCAGAAAUUUGCCUGGGGCUUGGGUGUGGGAACUCCUCCUUACUAUGUGGAAUCAUUGUAGCUAAGAAUACUACAAAUAUUCCCUAGAAAUAACUUAAAAUUAUAGAAUAAAAAUGAUGAAAAAGAUGUAGAGAAACUGAAGCUACAAUCACUGCAUGUGUUAACUAAAACUGAGCAAAAUGUCUUGUGGACUGCAGUUUUUUGUUUUGUUUUUCUUGCUCUCUCAAGAGGGCAACUCUGUAGUGCAAUAGAUCACAUAUUCAGGUGAUGUCAUGGGAAAUAGUAAUUGGCCAAAUAAAGGCUACAGCCAGUGUUUGGGCUAUGGAAGGAAAAGAUAGAGCUGAAUGUUUUGGGGUAGGGAGAGAAAGAAGAAUAGAGACGGAAUAUUCGGGCAAGAAGAAGAUGGGGGAGGAAGAGGUUGAAAAUGGAGCAGCCCAUGUGUCUUGCACGAGCCACAAGAAGGUAGAGAUGUCAUAAAUGGGCAAUAGAGUAGUGUCGUGGUGUAUUUGUCUGAUCUAAGCACUCAGCUUGUAGAUAUAUUAUUGAGUUUUCUGGUCUUUGCAUGGGCCUUUUGGGGUUGGAGAUUUACCCCUAUAAAUCUGGCUAGUAUAAGCCUCUAGGGUUUUCAUUACAAAAGACUAACGCAAGUCCUGUGAGAGGAGCAUUAUCCAACCUUCUGCAGGUCAGCCAGAGGUGGUGGAUGGGAUGAGAAAUGCAAGCAGUAGUCCAAGCAUUUCAGAUUAAAGGUGUUUGGUUAGAGUAGCAAACUAGCAGCAGGGACCAGGACAAGAUAGCUGCAUAGAGCUAGCCAGGUGGGGUGAGAAACACCACUACUACCAGAGCAUAGCAGGAAUUUGCAUUCCUGUGUUCUCAUUGCUGCUGUUGUUCUCACUGAAGCUGAUUAUUCAGUGAAUUCAGGCGACACUGCUGGCAUGGAUGUAUGUUUGUCCAGUGUGGGUCUCAUCUGAAGUGGCCGGAAGAAGAGAAGAACAGCCCUCUUCGCUCUUCUGCCUUCUCUUUGGCAAGAUAAUGGCCAAAGGUAAACACAAGGCCAUUGGAGGAUGUUGAGACCAGUGUGACUAGGGUGGGGUAGCUUCCACUCCUCUUCAGCUCAAAGGUAAUGCAUCGUAUACAUCAAGGGUAGGGAAUAACUGGAUUCGAUGUGUGAGCCUCUGUUGUUCUGCCCUGCACCUGGAGAACUUGCCUGUACAGUAAGCCACAUGAUCCCAUGGUUUGAUUAUAUGUUGUGAUAUCUUAGGCUCUGUACCCAGUAUGUUCUAUUUCUUCCACAAUUGCAGGGUCUAGCCUGACAGAGCUCAGUCCUUCAUAGGGAUUUGGGAAAGCCUUUCAAUCUUCCUUUAACCAGGGGUACAUCAUCACAUCUGUGACUGUCAAACUAUAUUUCGUGUUGACUAUCAUUAAGAGGCCAAGAGGUCCUACAUCUCUUCUGACACCCCACAGAGGUUAGGAUACAUACUUGCCACAAACGGUCUUCAAAACUGUAGUAUGAAGACAGAGUAAAAUCUGACUUUUUUUAUCUACCAUUAAAUGUAAAACUAUGGUCCAUAAGUCAUUCUGUGGACUAUCAUAAAGUUUGCUGAAGCAGAGUUCAGGAGCUCCAAAAGAGAAAGGACCACAGUGCCAGUUCAGCAUUGCCCUGGUUCCACUUGAUUUCUAAGGCAAAAGUCGAUGAUUUUGACUUUUCCAUUUAUGUCCAACAUAAUCUUAUCCAGUUUCAGUUCACUCGGUACUAUACCGUGCUCAUGGCAUUAGCUCACAGUUGCUAUUAUUUGCCUAAAUAUUUCCCUGCCCUUGUCCUCCUCUAGGUGGCCCCAUUUUCAGGUGUUUUGGUAAAGCUGUUGUCCUUCAAUAAGCUCUUAAUUUUGGAAGUAAGAUGCUGUUCAGGUUGUUGACCAUCAUCAUUGUUUCUGCCUUGGCCAUGUGUGGCCUACACCAAUGCUUCUUUACAAGCAGUUCGAUGGCCAUGGGACUGCUAGGGAGGCGAUGAUGUGAUAUCGGGACCUUGGCAUUGCUCCUUAAGUCCUUAAGACUUUGUACUGAGUGUGGAAGUUUCCCUCCUCAGAGAUUCUGCUGGGGCCUAGGGUUUGGGAAAUCCUCCUUACUAUGUGUAAGCAUUGUAGCUAAAAAUACUACAAAUAAUACCUAGAAGUAACUUUAAAAGUGUAGAAUAAAAAUAAUGAAAAAGAUGUUUGGAAACUGAAGCUAUCGUCACUUCAUGUGUUAACUAAAAUGAGCAAAAUGUCUUGUGGAUUACUGUUUGAAUUUUUUCCUCUCAAGAGGGCGGCCCUGUAGUGCAAUAGAUCACAUAUUCAGAUGAUGUCAAUUGAAAUAGUAAUUAGCCAUAUAAAGGCUACAGCCUGUCAUUGGGCAAUGGAAGGAAAAGAUAGAGCAGAAUGUUUUGGGAAAGGGAGAGAAAGAAUAGAGAUGGAUGAUGCGGGCAAGAAGAAGAUGGGAGAGAAGAGGUGGAAAAUGGAGCAGGCCCAUGUGGCUUGCAGGAGCCACAAGUAGCUAGAGAUUUCAUAAAUGGGCAAUAGAGUAGUGUAGUGGUAGAUUUGUCUAAUCUAAGCACUCAGCUUGUACUUAUAUUAUUGAGUUUUCUGUUCUUUGACUGGGACUUUUGGAGUUUGAGAUUUACCACUAUAAAUCUGGCUAGUAUAAGCUUCUGGGUUUUCAUUUCAAAAGACUAAGGCAAGUCCUGUGAAAGGAGCAUUAUCCAACCUUCUGCAGGUCAGCCAGAGGUGGUGGAUGGGAUGAGAAAUGCAAGCAGUAGUCCAGGCAUUUCAGAUUAAAGUUGUUUGGUUAGAGUAGCAAACUACCAGCAGGAACCAGGACAAGAUGGCUGCAUAGAGCUAGCCAUGUGGGUUCAGGAUAACCACUGAUACCAGAGCAUAGCAGGAAUUUGCAUGGGUUUAAUUUAAAACUUCAUGCAAUAGAAGAUGUUGCCUGUGGUAGUCAACAAUCCACUAGGGAGUUAGGAUUCUUGUCCUAGGGAUGAGAGAAUUAGAUUCCUGAAUGAGCAGAGAUGAGUCAAAUGACUCCAGCACAUGGGAAUCUUAAUCAAACACAGUGAUAGACAGACCCAAAUCAGGCUUUGCGUUCUCUUCCUGUAAAAAGAAUCAGUAUAAUAAAUGGAUCCAGGCAGAGAGGGAGACUGAAGACUGCCUGCUUUUAAUAAAGUUUGGUUUAGUUGUUGCUAAUUUGGUGUAAUUUUGUUUAAAGAUAGAAGAGGACACAAUUUUGGCCACAGUCACCUGGGGAAUUCCUCCUGAGGUUCAGAGCUAACUCAGGGCAAAUGAGCCCAGAUUAUCUGGGAGCUCCUGCUGUGCAGGGACAAACUGAGCUAACAGAAAAACUACAGCCUCCAAGGCAGACAACAGAAUUUGGAUAAGGAUGAAACCCUCUAGGAAAGUCUCAGUGUCUCACAGGAUUCUCAUAUUCUCUCAAAAGAGGGUUAAAUGUCCUGUCUUGGCAGAUUAGAAAAGGCCUGAAAAAACUGUUUCUACUCUGCUUGUUUGGUUUAGUUCCCUCGUAUGAGUAUUUAAUUUUCGAAAUGUAUGUGAUUUUGAAUUUUCUGGUUAUUUUACUAUUCCUCUGGGAAAGAUGUCAAGCUAAAAAUCUUUCUGGUUACUGGCUAAAGUGUCUGCUAAUUUGGGAGAAAGACCUUAUGUUUCUGCUUAUAGGAAAAGUAAUUAGGCACUGGACUCCUUCCAGGGUUCUCUGGGUCAGAAAGGGCAGAUGAGCCCCCCUGAAGAACUAGAAAAUUCAAGAGAACCAAGCAAGAAAGGUAAAGAUUCCUUAUGCCAUUGUUCACAAUGCAUGAACGAAGACUUAUGAUUAGUUAUUAUUAAAUUUGGCUCAUAAAAAGACUAUCUUUUCACAUGCUUAAACAAAGAGCAGUAUUUCAUCUUGAGUAGUCAAGGUAUUUCAUGUUAAACUGGUUCCCAAUUGGCUUAGCAAUCGAGCCUCAGGAUGCAGAGUAACACAGCUGCAUAGAGCUAGCCAUAGGGGCUGGGUGUAACUCUGAUGCCUGUGUUUAGCCAGACUUAGUGUGGGGUUAUUUUAAAAUUACAUGUAACAAAAAGUGAUUGAAAGAAACUAAAGUCAAAGUUAGGAAAAUAGAAUAAAAAUUAUGGAAAAGAUAUCAGGGAAAAAGCUAAAGUCAAAAAUCCCAAGUAAAAUUCAAACAAAUAACCCACCUUGUAUUCUGUUCAGAAAAGUCACGAAGCUCUCUAGAAGGAGAGAAGACAGGAUGCAGCUGUUGGGCUAUCUCAGGCAAACUCUGCACCGGAGCACCUGUUCAAAGAGAUUAGAACAUCAUUAUUGUAUCAUGGAUGUUUACUGGGAGAAUGGAAUGAUUUCACAGCUGAGUUGUGGAAUUCUAUUGAUCUAUAAAAUAACCUAUGCAGUGGAUAAUAUAAAGUUAUGAAAUAUCUUCCAGCUUCAUUAAUCAGAACUAUAAAUUUUCAAUCUAGCCCAUGGAUGCUGAUGGUAACUGUCGCUUCUGUUUCCGACCCGUAGAAAAGAGCGACUACACAGCGUUCUUUUCAAAGCGGUUUAUUCAGGAACCUUACAACAUGCAAACAGGAAUCUUCUUUUCUUCUGUCUCCCUCCCAGCCCAGCCCCCGGAGCACACUCCCUUAUACCCUCCCUCAACUCUGCCUCCUCAGUCCAGACUGCAUAAUCUCAGUUCAUAGGUCCACGGCACAUGGCCUGAUCUUGCAUCAUGGUGCGCCUGCACAGCUCUCACAAUGGACGUGGCUAGUUUCAGGUGUGUGAGGAAGUCAGAUGCUAGUCAUGAGACUUAGCUGCAGUCCCAGGCGCCAUCUUGGGACUACCGCCACACCCGCUCCCCACAGGUAACUGUGAUUUCAAGGUCAUUUCCAAUCAUCUAUGUUAAGUGUUUUGACUCAAGGAAACUGGCAUUGCCAUAGAUGAAAUCAGUAAAAGGCAUAUUUAUUUCUUCUUUGCCACAUAACUAGACAAAUGUCAGUUCAAAAAGUUGCGAUUAUUUAGUGUACUUUUUUCAUCUCAGUUACUUAUGUAUUUUUUCAUUUAUUUAAAUUUCCAUACAUGUAUACAGUAAAAUAUGGUCAUAUCCACCCUAACAUCUGUCCUCCAACUUCUACAAGAUUCCUCUCAGAAUCCCCCGAUUGACUCUAUAGCCCUGGUUGGUCUGGGACUUGCUGUGUAAAUCAAAUUAGCCUAGAACUCACAGAGGUCCACCUGAAUCUGAUCCUGGGCUUAAAAGUCAGCACCACUAAACCAUUCCUCGUGUGUGUGUGUGUGUGUGUGUGUGUGUGUGUGUGUGUGUGUGUGUACAGAAAUACACAUACACACAUUUUUUGUAUCCCAGUAAGCCCUAUUAGUGCUAGUCAUACAUGCAUACUGUGUGUACAGACAUUCACUGGAUUAUCAGAGUCCUACCAGUGGCUUGUCCCCAAGGAAGAGUGAAUUUCUAUCAGCUGUUGUUAACUGCAGCUCCUCAUUUGAUGCAAGGGCUUAUAAGUUCUUCUCCCACCCAUGCACGAUGUGCAAACAAAUGACACAGCCACCUCCGUCACUUUACUCGGUUAACAUAUACUAAUAAAAUGUUAUGGUAUUUUCAAAUUUAUAUGUAUCUGUAUUGUAUAUGUAUAAUGACACAUUGUAUAUACUUGUAAUGGCUAUUCUUGGUUGUGAACUUGACUAUAUGUGGAAUGAACUUCAAUCCAGAAUUGGAAAGCUCACCUUUGAUCCUGAUUUGAGGCUGGGAGACACAAAUUUCUGAACUGAAUCUUGGCAUGGAGAUCAUGAGGCAAAGUGGCUGUGAAUCUCAGGAGUUUAAGACAAGGAGAUCUCUGAGUUCAAGGUCACCUAGGACAAAGCAAGUCCCAGUUCCAGCUGUGGUGGUACACACCUUUAAUCUGGGACACACCUUCUGCUGGAGAUUUAUAUAAGGACAUUGGAAGAAGGAAGAGUCUCUCUUUCAUCUGCCUGCCUGAUUUGUAGGACUGAGCCACUGCUAGAUCCUUGGACUCCUAUUCAUACCUGUUGCUGAUCAUUGUUGGGGAGUUGGACUAUAGACUGCAAGUCAUCAACCAAUUGUCUUACUGUACAGAGAUUUCCCAUAAGUUCUGUGUCUCUAAAGAACCCGGUAUAAGACAAUUCUCUUUUAUAAUAUCUAAUUUCUAUUGAUAGAUAAUGUAAUUUAUUUUUUUAUUCAUAAUAUUAUUAUAUUCAUCCCUAUGUUUAUAUGUAAAUAAAACACAGGUUGUAUGCCUAUGAAACAGUAACACACUGCAUACUUGAUGACUGCUGUCUUUUCCCUACUCCCUACUGCAGGGGAGAAAAUGGACCAUUCUCAUCAAUGAAAAAGGUAAAAUGAAAUGUUAACUAUUGGCUGGAAACACAGAUGGUUUACACAUAAAAUUACAUCUUCUUGAUUGCUACUUUAGAAAUUUAUCUUCAUUUCCUGAAGUCACUUUUUAUGAUACAUUACUAUAUCAAAUACUAUCUCAUAGUUUUUAAGGUAAGUUAAUUUUAUUCUUGGUACAAAAGUAUACACAUAGUGUUGUGCAACUUCCAGUAAUAUCCGGGUAGGGCUUCGUGAACAUAACUGUAUGGUUUAAUACUUCCCUAUGUGAUCCAAAGCUCUUUUGUUGUUAUAUUAUGAUCUCUAAGCAGAAUAUUUUUGAUCCUGAAAUUAUAUACAAUACCUAACUUUUUCUAAAACCCUUCAUUAGCUCUCCAUAGAAUGCUAUUUAAGUGUGUUUGACUGUUCGGUCCCAGGAUAUGAAUUCCAGUAGAGCACUUUCUGGAUAAUAUUUCCUUACAAAGUGCUGUUAACUGCUUCCUCCAAGAAGUUAAUUUCUUGUCUUGAAAUUUAAACCUUAAGUUUAAAUAGAAGAUAGAGAAGGCAGAUGCUGGAUUAUUUAGUACCAAGCUGGUUUUCUGUCCUGAUAUGGGUAAGGGCUAGUCACUUGAGGUGUUUCUCAUUCCUUUGGAUUUGUAGCUGUUUCAGACUUUAUAAAUAAUCAUUUUGAGUAUUACAAGUCUAUGGGCAUUUUCUCACCAAAUUGUCCAUUUUUACAGGAGUAUUUUUCUUACAAGUUUGGAACCAUAAAAUAGAAACUUUCCUAACUAGUCAAGCUACUAGGGUGUAUGUGGGCAGGGUUUUGCACAUUUCCUGCUGUGUGAUUUAAUUGUGCUGUUCUGACCAUUUUUUUUGCAUAGGCUGCUGGCCAGUAUAAACUGGAAAUCUAUGUUAAAUCGUUGUCCAAGGAGGUAUUGCAGAUGUGGUCAGUAUUUGUUUUAAAGGAAACAGUGAAAGGCAUUCUUCACUCGAGCUUUGUGAAAUACUGUGCAGAUGCUUAUGGCUGUGGAUACUGUGUGGUGUGAGGAAUGCUGUUGUGCACUGACUGUGUGGUGUGAGGAAUGCUGCUGUGCACUGACUGUGUGGUGUGAGGAAUGCUGCUGUGCACUGACUGUGUGGUGUGAGGAAUGCUGCUGUGCACUGACUGUGUGGUGUGAGGAAUGCUGCUGUGCACUGAUUGUGUGGUGUGAGGAAUGCAGCUGUGCACUGACCGUGUGGUGUGAGGAAUGCUGCUGUGCACUGACUGUGUGAUGUGAGGAAUGCUGCUGUGCACUGACUGUGUGGUGUGAGGAAUGCUGUGGUGCAUUGACGCUGCCUUUUUUCUUUUCUCCCUACCCCUGCAUCCUUCUGGUGGUUCAGGUUGGACAACUAGGUGCCCAUGACCAAGUCCUCAUUGUGGAUGGAUUUAGUCUAUUUGGACAUUCUCAGGAAAGGGCAGCAGAACUCAUGACUAGUACCAGUCCCAUGGUUACCCUGGAAGUUGCAAAUCAAGGCAUCCUCUUUCACUGCCUGUCCACCUUUCUUACCCAGCCAUUGUCCUCCAUGGUGCAGAGAGUGUGUUACCCCUUCAAUGGAAGAACUUCAGGAAGAGUUUUACCAACUUGAGCUGCAUUGAGUAGUGGCCAGCAUGGAUCUCUAGUGUGACAAUGAUAUGUGGAUCUAGAGCUCCUCAGUGGACUCUAUGACAUCCAGCCAGGAGCACCUGAAAUAUUCCUCCAAGUCAGUUACCCCUGCUUCCACUCUACCAAGAGUGGUCCUGGCCAUUGGAAAACCCAGCAGAGGUGCUGCCCACCCCUGUGACUGUCUUCCAGCCCAUAUGAACAGACCUCCCUCCACCACCUCCUCCACCACAUGUCCACCUACACCAGUGGUUUUGAUGGCAUUUCAGUGGCUUUGCCCCUCCCACCACCUUCUGCAAACAAGGCAGGAUCCCAGUCUGCUCAGGUGGCUGCUGGCUAGCAAAAAAGGAGGAGCAGCAGUGGUGGUCUGAGAUAUAGAAGGCCUGCCUGGAUAAGGAAGCAGAGAGGAAGCACGGGGAGCAGGAGAAGAAUCUGGGGCAGAUGCACUCUCAUUCCCUGAUCCCUGCUUCCUUAUCUCUUUUGGCCACACCGGCCCAACCAGGAAAACCUUCCACACUGCAGAGGCCCCAAGAAACAGUUACUCUGGAGCUGUAGCCCCAGCAGCAGCCCCCCACUAUUGAGCACAGGAAUCUGCAGUAGAAAACUAUCAGUAAAGAGGAGUUGUCCUGUGGGGAUAGUCUGUCUCCAGACCCAUGGAAACAAGAUGCCAGGGAGAAGCUGGAGAAGCAACAGCAAAUGCACCUUGUGGACAUGCUAAGCAAGGAGAUCCAUGAGCUGCAAAACAAGGGGGACGGUAGUGCAGAGGAGAGUGACUGCCUGUGGAAGCUUAUGCUGGAGUGGCUGUUUUGGAAGAGACUUCAGGCUAUAUUUCUUGUGUUUCUCCCAGGUUCAUUUCUUGAACCUGUUCUUGAAAACUGUUCAAGCAGCCCAACAUUUGACAUUUUCAAAGUAGAAAUUCAUAACAACUAUGUUUUUGACAUUCUGGCCUUAGAUAAUUCUACAGUGAUGUCUAUGGUUAAGUGCCAGGCAGUGAGAACCCAGGAGUGACGAUCAGAUGUACACAGGAUGACCUGCAGGUGAGGUGCUCCUGGAGCCCAGUGUCCUGAGUGCAGGUCCUCAACCUUACAGCUGCCCACUCCAGCUGUGCCUGGGAUGGAGCCAGUGCUACCUACCUAGGAAGCAGCUCAGGGAUUGUGUGCUUACUAUGUUCCCCAUUGGUUCAGUUCAUGACAAAGGUUAAUCUGAAGUAACAGCAGGAAUUUUAGCCCGCUGGAAUUCUGUAUCUGAGAAAGUACAUGUCUUUAGGAACAUCAAGAUGCUCACGUCUAACACGUUUCAGCUUUAUAUGUCACAGAUAUCAUAAUAAAGCUGUUUAUAACCUUUUUCUGUUUGGGGUAGCUCAAGGGUAGAAUGUCCUGACCCUGAGUAUUAUAUCUAAUUACCCAGAGAGAGAGAGAGGGACAGGAAGGAAGGGAGGGGGAGAGGGAGGGACAGAGACAGGGAGAGAGAGAGAGAGAGAGAGAGAGAGAGAGAGAGAGAGAGAGAGAGAAAGAGAGAGAGGAACAAAAAGUUUGUAAAAAUAAGCAAAACUUAAAAAUAUAUAAAUAACUAAAUUAUUAAAAGUCUAUAUGAGAGUCAAUGUUUAUCACCCAAAAUUGAGGAAGGGGCUUGGAGAAACGAAUUAUCUGCCUCCAACCUCCAAAAACAUACACACACUCAAUCAACAACACGUCUAAUUAUACCUGGAAAUACCCAUAUUUUAUAGAAUGCCAUAAUGGAAAGUGAGAAGCAUCAUUUUCGAUAAGGGUUGCCAAUAUGUUCUUUUUCCAAGGUGUGUGCAGCCGUGCCAGUCUUCCUCACCACGGGAUGGAAGAGGUCCCUGACCUGUGAGCCUAGAGGUGACCAGGGGAUCUUUGCUCCAUUCUGAGACUGAGAGGCAGGAUGCCCACUCAAGGGUCCAUAGCAGGGAAGGUUUUCAAGCUACGUACAGUGCUGGAAAAGCCUACACAAGGCAUACAGUUAGCAGUGAUGUGUUUGCAGGGAGUCCAAGGAACCAGCUUUUUACUGAUGCAGGUGGGCAAGCAUUUAUCAUCCACCUGCCACUCUGACAGCAAUAAGAGUAUUGCUUAAGUUUUGUUUCAUAGAUUUGAUCACUGAAAAAAUACCAAAAAUUGGACCCUUAACGUUGUAGCAAAUAGAAUAGUGGAUGCUAAGACAGGGACCUUUGACUCUUCUAACACCAUUGUCUAUUUCAGAGCAAGAAAGGAGAGUUAUCAAUGGACAGCAGUCUGCUUCCCCCAUGAGUGCUCUACCACUGAGUUAGUAGCCUUAGCCCUCCUCACCUUUAGAUAAAGGGUGUCACUAAGUUGUCCAAGCAGACCUGAAACUCAUGCUGUAGACCAGGCUAGCUUUGAACUUCUGAUCCCCCUCCCUACUGUGUGUCUUGAGUGUCUGGGAUUACAGGCCCAUUUCUCUACAGCUGAGCAGCUUGCUUGUUUGCUUCCUCCUUUCUUUACUCCUCUUCCUCCUCCUCUUCCUUCUCCUCCUCCUCCCCCCCUCUCUCUGUCUCUUUCAUUCUUUCUUUCCUUUCAUUCAUUCUUUCUUUCAUUCUUUAUCUUUCUUUUCUUCCUUCUUUCAUUCAUUUGUUCCUUUCUUUUAAGAUUCAUUUACUUUAGUGCUCUAUCUGCGUGUACAUCUGUGUGUCCAAAGAGGGCAUCAGAUCUAAUAAUACACAGUUAGUAUCUAUGAUAUGGUGACUGGAAUCGAACUCAAGACCUUUAAAAGAGCAGCCAUGCUCUUAACCACUGAGCCUGCUCUCCAGCCCCAGCCUAUUUUCUUAAACUUACCACACUUGGUUCACAUGAGAAUUGUCUGUCAGAUGAGUAAGAUAAGGUUACCCUGAGCGCAGAGUGCUUAUCCCUUGUCAGAUCAUCCAGGGGGUUACCUCUGACUCAUGCUGUCCUUUUCCAGGUCUGUCACCAGUGCCCUGGAGUUUGUGGGCCUCAUCCACAGAGGUAUGCAACUCAGAGAACAUGGCCCCUAAGGCUACACCCACAUUGUAAAAGCCAGCGAUGUCAAUCACAGCAGGUUAGAUGUCAGCCACCUGAGUCAUGCAGUUUGACCACAUGAGACUCACCCUAGGACUUAAAUGCAGUGCGUUCAAGGUCUCACAUGCUAUGCUGGACAGCUGCUCUGGGCCUCCACAUCAUAAGUCAGAGUACAGAGCCCUGGGCACAGCAGGACACACCCAGGCUAGUUUUCACUCCUAUGGAAAGCCAGUAGAGAUGGACAUUCUCCAUCUUGCUACAGUGACACUUCUGUAAGGGAUGAGACUGCUUAGGGCAGCAUUGUCUGUUUAGUAGGCACAUCCACCUCCAGGACUUGCCCCCUAUGGACAGUGCUUGAGCAAAGCCUGCCUCAUGGUGCUUAGGGAGUCUCAGUUGUCUGCCAAUGGAUUCCCAGACAUUCAGCUCUGUCUGAUGAUUGACAGACCUUUGUGACCCUUCUGUUUUCCACUCUCCGGACCACAGCCCCAAAGUCCAGCCAAGCUGACCUUCACGAGAAAGCAAGGGCAGGUAUUUGUGGAUUACUACUGCACUGGGCUUCAUCUCCAGUGGACCCACCCGACCAUGCUGGGCAGCUCCUGGGGGGCAGGUUUCAGCACAUGGACUGGGCCAGCAGUGUGUAUGCAGGUGAACGGGGGACGACAUCUGCCCAGUCAAGAAUGCCAGAGUCAUCAAAGGGCAACACAGUAGAGAGAGCUUGUGAACUGUCAACAGAAGGCCAUGUUAUACCCCAUGAUGGGCCUUAUGUUGUUCUGUGUCUAGAAAAAGGGUUACCUGCAGUUAAAAGGACUGUGGUAUCCAAAAAGGGACCUCAAUGACUACCAGGCCAUGGUGCCUGUCUGGGAAGUGGGUGGGUCCCAUGGUCCCUCCCAAGAACCACCUCUGUUUGCCUGUUCCUGUCUGGAUAGCAUGCUCACAAGCGACUGGACUGCUUACUUUACAGCUGUGUCUGCGGUGACUGGGUUUGCCCUGAAGGAGGCCUUCUUUAUCAAUUAGAGUCUGGCUGUCCUAGCAGAUGGCCUUGUGGCCUUGUCAGAGCACUGUGACCACAUCCCACAUCUGAACAGCAAGCUAGUCAACAGGAUGCUCUAUCGGUUUGUCUUCCUCAGAGACCCCAAAAUACAGGGGGCAGAGAGCUGGGCUUUAGGCAGCUACCACAGGCAUGACUGCUCUUAUUUGUAAGCCGCACCGCCUUUGGCCGAGUUACGGUUCUGCCAGGCCCUCCCAUGUUCUGUCUUCAGCAUCUUUGUGUGUCAAUGAAGCUUACACUGUGUAUUAACUGUGCUGCACGUUGGCCUAGAGGCUGGGCUUUCCUCUUGAUUUUCCAGCAAGACUACAGAGUUCCCGGGGGAGACUCUCAUCAUGGCUCUCCAUAUUCUGACAGGCACAGUCUGUGGAUGUCUCUAAGGUGUUGGAGAUCGGACCCCACUGAGGGGUGAGAGGCUUUCAGUGGCUUAUAGACCCAAGGCUUGUGCAUGAUGGCUUUUUUUUUGGUUCUUUUUUUCGGAGCUGGGGACCGAACCCAGGGCCUUGCGCUUCCUAGGUAAGCGCUCUACCACUGAGCUAAAUCCCCAGCCCUGCAUGAUGGCUUUUAUUGUGUGUUUGGUAGCAUGUAUGCCCUGCUCCAAGUGUAGACAGACACUCCCCAUGCUUGUAGUCCCUGCUUGGAGUGUGGGUACACUCUGUCCAUGCAGACAGCUGUCUCCGCACACACAGAUGCCAUUUUCAUGAUUUACGCCUGUCAUCUUUGAUGUUUCUUUUAAUAGGCAGUCAUGUAAAGUCACUAUGAUAUUGUGGUGACUUUCUUUCCCCAGCCUUCAGAUGAAUAUAGGAAAGAGACUCUGGAAUCUGCCUGGGCUCCUCCUUAUGCCCACACCUUGACCCCACUGAACUCUCUUUGGCAGAGACAUGGCAGAGCCUGGCCUUUAAUUGUCCUGUUCAUUCCCUAUUGAUUGUGACCACAGUCUGGAGCUCUGCACAGCCUGGUGUCCAGAGAAAAUUGGCAUAGUUCCCCACAAUGUCUCCACAGGCUCAGAGGAAGGACAUAAAUAGAAUCUUUAUGGGACCCAAGUGGCUUCUCCGGGUCAGCCAAUGGUCUUGGCUCCUUCUUGUCUCUGAAGACACAGGGCACAAGUCCUGACCUCCAUGCACCUUUAGCUGCUGCACACACUAAGGAUGAGUCCAUUGGCUUCUGCUGCUUCCGGGAGUCCUGAAAACCACAAUCCCUCAACCAAGGGAACUGGUGGGGAACAAGUCAGCUCCCUGAGGACCAGAAGCCCCACCUGGGUUCACUACUAUGUUUCCCAAAAUAAUGAAGAGCUGCUGUCAUAGCAGGCCAUGCUCUGGUGGGAAGGGCAGACAGGCACAUCCAGACCCACAGAAGGCUGUACUGUGGCUGUGCUGGGCAUCCCAGGGGCGGGGUGGGGUUGGGGACGGGAGACAAUUGGUCCAUGGGUACCAUGGGUAUACAUGGACACCUAGGCACAUAAGGGGGUAUGCAUAUACACGAAAAAACUCCCUCUCACACAGAAGUUGGCAUGAUGUAUAGAAAAACAAGGCCAUCCUGAGUGUGGGCUUCACUUUAGAUAUUAAGGUCCAACGUUAAAACAGGAAUGUGUGAAGACAAGGAGCUCUGUGUUCCCUGGGACCAGAAGGAACAGAGUGGCUGUGCUGACUCACAUGAAAUAAACUCUCAAUCACAGUCUGUGACAGCCAGGUCACAGGACCCAGGCUGCUGUGUUAUGUGUGAGCACCCAGUGCAGCCAGAAGCUAAGUACUGAGCACUGACUGGCCCAAGCCCAGAAAGGGUCUCUGUUUUUCAGAGUGCUGGGGGACAGUGCAGUGUGUAGCAGUUUCCUCUUGAAGACUCUUCUGGGGUUUUGAGUUCCCUGUAGAGGAUCCUCAUGACUGCAGACACUAAGCCUGGGAGGAAAGAUCCUCAUCUGUAGAGUUCAUUGAAAGGCCUGAGAGCAGAAAAGCAAAGAAGCAGCAAAAUGUGCCCCUUCUGCUCACUGUGGUUCAGCUUCUGCCUUUGCAGUUGAGCUCAGGUGCCCUGGAGUCCUCCCUAGCCUGAGUGAGUAAUUUCAAGGCCAAGUCACAUCCUCCUGGUUUGUAGUAUCAAACGCAGCCCAGUUCCAGCCCAGGUAAGCUGUGAAUACCAGGUAUGCCUUGCUGUCUGCAUUGUAGGGGAACUGUUGAGCCCCAAAGGACGCAAGGGCUACAAGGUAAGGAAUCAUAGGACUGGGCUAGGCCUCGAAUCCAAGUUCCCUUCUCCCCCUGCCUGGUAACUGGUUCUUGCUGUGUAUAGGGGACAGAAAGAAAGGGUCCUAUGGGAGCCCUGGCACAGGCCUGCCCAAGCAUGGCUUAGGGAUCCUCACAACAUCCUAGCAUUUGAUGUGUCCCCAGGUUUGUCUACCACCCUCAGCCGUGUGCCAUUUUCUGUGCCACCUGCAAGGGACUCUAAAUAUCUUCCUACAAAAGGUGAUCAAGGAGGGGGUGUACAAGGACACAUGGUGGCUCUGUGGUGAAGUUAACAUGGACCAAUAGAUUAGAGGGCCAGAGCCCCAGGACUAAUGCUGGGUGGACACACUCCUCUGACAUCCAACACAGAGAUCUUUGUACAGAGAUCAAGAGAAGUCUUAUCUGAAUAGCAGUGCAGAGCACCUCAGGCUCAGGGACUCAGGACUGACACCCAUAGAAUGCUGUAGAGGAGCCGUUUGUGAUUCAAGGGCUCAUCUGCCUGGGUCCCUGUGCCUCUAGAGAUGAGCAGAGGACUGGGCUGUGGCUGGUUAUGGGCUCAGACAGGGAGGUGCUAGGGAGCUUGUUUUUGACUCCUGGGAGUAGAGCAGUUUUUCUUUCCCUGUCCCUGCUUUUUGAGUUUUUCUUUCCUUGGGAAAAUGGAAGGACUGGAAGAAGUCUGUCUAUGGAGAGUGAGGCUGGCUGGGAAACUGCUCGCUGUUCUCCAUUGUCAUCCUGCUGGGGGUUUGGGGUUGUUGGCAGGUUAGCCUCUCCACCAUUCCAGUCUGCUUCUCUCCAUUUAAUCCAUGCAUCUCUGUCUCUUCACUCCGUGACAUGGAUGCACAAGUCCUACCUGUAGCUUUCACUCCAAGGCAUAAGUCCCUCAGUGAGUGAAUUCCAGAUGGUUCUGUCUAGAGCAGCAUGGUCCAGGGUAGUUGCUCAGUAUGUAGGUACAUGGAAGAGGAUAGUGCACGGCAUCCACACACAUUUCAUAUAAAAUCAAUCCUCAUGGUCAGGUACUAAUCCAUUCUAUUUACACCUUUCGCCAUUAUUGCUAUUCACUGUACUGUGAAUUUUUAUUAUAUUUCACUUCUGCAAAGGAAGAGACAGAGUUUAGCACUGGAGAGUCCCUAGGGACUGGCUGGAAAGGACGCCUUGACACACAUGUGUGCUUCUGGGAAAAAGCUCUUUCAUAGGAUGCCUCCAUGAGUUCCAGGAUGUGUGGAGGGCUCUGUGCCCUAUCCAGGGUUGACCUCAAUAUAUUAAUGGGAGCUGAGGCUUCUCUCUAAUAGAACAGUGCCACCCUCCUUGGAGCUGUCUGUGAUUGUAUAUUCUUAGCUCUAGAGUAUCAUUAUUAGGAGACUUUGCCUUGUUAAAUAGGGGUGUCACAUUGGCAUGGGCUUUCAGACCCUUUUCCUAUCCACAUGCAAGCCAAUCUUCCCCAAGCAGCCUUCAGAUGAAGAUGUAGAACUCUCAGUCUCUCUAGUACCAUGCCUGCCUGGAUGCUGCCAUGCUCCCAGCUUGAAGAUAAUGGACUGAGUUUCUGAACCUGCAAUCCUGUGUUCAUUAAUAUUGUCCUUAUAAGAGCUGCAUUUGUUGUGGUGUGUCUCUUCUCAGCAGUAAACCCCUAACUCAAACAAUGUCCAUGUUCCCUUCUUCUGCCUCCAGACAUUAGAAGCUUCCUACAUGAGCGGCAUUCUCUUGGGAUAUGGCCCUGAUAGGCGCUAGGCUGUCUGCUUGAUCUGAGAGUGCUAGGACAUCCUGCUCCUAAGGGCAUUGUUACCGCUCCCUUGCAAUACUGUGAAUAGCAUCAGCAGGCUCCUGCUCUGUUACCCCCUGAACACAAUGCUGUCUUCUCCAGGAGUGGAUCCAACAGCUCCCAGAACCUCCUCAGGAACUAUGUGUUUCCCAAGGAUUACCUGCACUUGCUUACACACCCCUAUCCUGUGUUCUGAAAACUUUUCAAAGCCCAUUCAUCUGAGACUGGUGAGUUCAGGACAGUAGUCCCAAGUGUCUUGUCCUACCCUGACAGUUCACUCUCAUGAGGCAUCACCUGCGCUUGACAGAGGAUUUUCCCAAGGGGCAUUGGAUGUGCAGGAGAAUUGUGUGUCCUGAGUCUUUUCAGAGCAGCAAAGGAGGACAUCAAGGUCCCAUUUGCUUUUGGUUUUUGAACUCAUGGGCCUGGCACGGUCUUGUUGGUAUUUAGGUCCCUGUCAGUCCUGAAUUGAAUUUUAGCAUGGGAACCCAGGGCAGUUGUCUUCAAAGAUAUUCCUAGCAUGGACCACAUCUUCACCUCACCAGACAUAAAGCACGACAAACACCAGGCAGGCAGAAAACCCUCAGAGGCUGGAACUGUCAUGUUCAAACAUUCUGGCUUGACCUUGGCCAACACAGGUUCAGAGAACAGCCUCUAUGUAGGAAGAUCUCCUUCCUCCUCUCAGAGUUUACGACAUGUAGACUUAAGCUAAGCUGCUGGCACACAUGUGAGCAGAGGCACCAGCCUAGGCUUGUUCAAUAUCAAAGCCUACCUGCCACCCCUGUAUCAUAGUCAUAGCAGCACAUCUCAUGAGAAUUCUAGGGGUGGUGAUAUUCUGGGUGAAUAUUCUGUAUUCUGCUGCCAGUUACUUUGCUUCCACAUGUCCAACUGUGAGAAGGGAUUGAGAAAGGGAAGGUGAUGAAGUCCUGCUAUUAUCUACUUGGUGCCACCAAAGACAAUGUGGUCUUACUGGCAAGAUCUUUGCAUUAGAUUUUAUAAAAAGUGACCUCAGGACAGUAGGUACUCUCAAGAAGGUGCAGCAUGGUGGGUACAAUGGAACAGGAUCCCUGAGGUUGGUAAAGUGGGCCAGGGUCCCUGGGGUAGGAGCAAUGGGGCAAGAGCCCUUGGGAUGGGAUCUUGUAGUAGUGACCCUGUGGAAUGUGUAACUGGCAGGGACCCUGGGGUAGGUGCACUGUGACGUGCACCCAAGCUGGAAUGUUCAGACAGGUGUGUGUUUGCUUCAUGCAGCUGCUGUCUGAAGUAGAGAACACUGUCAUCUGCCCCAGAGGGGAUUUUGGGAGCUCCUUCCAAGAAUGCCUCAGCUCCUUACUGAGAAGAUAUACAUUCCACAGAUGGGGCUUUAUUGAGAUGAGCAGAUUCUAAGGGGGCUGCCUCGAAGGAACAGCCAAAGAAAGCAGAAAUGAACAAGCAAUUGCACCAGCCAUGUCGAAGGUGACUUUGCUCUGAAGAAUAGGACUGGAAGAAACUGAUUAAGUCAAAUCACUUCUCUAUCUCUGUAUCUCUAUCUCUAUCUCUAUCUAUCUAUCUAUUCACCCAUCCAUCCAUAAUCCAUCCAUCUAUCUAUCUAUCUAUCUAUCUAUCUAUCUAUCUAUCUAUCUAUCUAUCUAUCUAUCUAUCUAUCUAUCUAUCUCCCUGAGGGAAGUCAGCUUUCAUUUGUAGGAAGAAGGUCACAUCCGUGCCCCAUUAUGGUGAAAACCAGGAUUGCAGGGAGUGAGAUAGAUGGGUUAUUUCUUUCUUCCUUCCUUGAAUCUUCUUAUAUCUUUGUUUCUUUGUAUCUUUCUUUCUUUCUUUCUUCCUUCCUUCUCUCUCUCUCUCUCUCUCUCUCUCUCUCUCUCUCUCUCUCUCUCUCUCUCUUCUUUCCUUCUUACUUCUUUUUUGCUUUUGGUGGGAUAGAAUGCCAGUUGUGGCCAGUCCCCAUCAGCAUCCACUGUGCUACAGACCCAGUCUCAGUGUGACACAGAAGAGGCCUAACUUUGAAAGUUUGUCCUCUCUCUAAGGGAUACUGUAUAAUACAGUGCUCUGGACUGCAGGUCAGACAAGGCCUGCGUUUAGGAGACUUGUGGACAGAUGAAUGUCUGUGAGUCUGGACUUAGACUCUGUGGAGGGCUCAGGUCACCUGACUGUCCUGAAGCUUCCCACUGUGAUUUAUUUCCCUCCUACAGAGUCAGCCACCUGAGCAACUGCAUUUCCUGGUCAGCCCCUAAUCCUCUUACACUGUGUAGAGUGUUCAAUCUCAGGGAAGGCCUGGGAAUCUGAGAGACACCACUGAGCCCCCUGGGCCUGGCUGACUCAACCUGAGGCUACCCUGUGUGUCUUCAUUUUGCUCACCCUCCAGAGACCUCAAAAGUCAGCAGUGAGCUUGCUGAGAGGCCAGGAACCUCCAUAUUGGCCCAAGAGCAACUGUCCUCUUUUACAGGUUCAUCCACAGAGCAUGUAAUUCUGAUUGGUGCAACAGUCAGGAAGAGUGAAAGACGUCAUCUCCCAAGGGCAAGUGCUGUGCUAGUGGACACUGAGGAGCUGCAGGGAUCAAACCCUUCCCCAUCCUUCUCCAGCCUCUCUUGUUCUUCCUUGAGAUGUUUCCUACAGAUCUGAAAGAUCCAGGCAGUCCAUGACAUGCAUUUGAAUUUAAUCUCAGGACAUUUUACUCCUUGCUCUAAAAUUAAGACCAGGUAAUUCAUUUGUUUGUUUGUUUAUUUAUUUGUUAUAUGUAAGUACAAUGUAGCUGUCUUUAGAAACACCAGAUACAGCAUCAGGUCUCAUUUGAGAUAUUUGUGAGCCACCAUAUAGUUGCUGGGAUUUGAACUCUGGACCUCUGAUAGAGCAUUCAGUGCUCCUAACCACUGAGCAAUUUUUCCAACUUCCAGACUAACUUUUUAAAUUCCCAUAAUGUAUUCUUUAUUCAGGUUACAUCCUGAUCCCAGCCACUCUCCCUCUGCCUGUCUUCAGGGUAGGAGAUUACAGGAAGGCCCCAAUUUUCAGCAGGGGAGUGGGUUUGCUUCCAGAGCAGGCAGUGGGGUCGUAAACAUCUCACUCUCAGGGAAUUGGGAGCUUUCCCAUAUAAGAAUUUUCUGUGGUGGAAGCUCAGUUUGCUGUCUGGCUUCUUUUCAGUUUUCUCUUGCUUCUUCUGGAAUAAGAAUGUUCUUUAUUAAGAGCUUAGAGGGUGUUUCUGGCCAGACUAUGUUCAUGUGCAGGCCCAUCCCUGGACGGCUGGAUGCUUAGACUCUCCUGGGGAGACCUGUUUCCUUUCUGCAGCAGGCCAGCUAGUAUGAGAACUAAAGGACCCCAUCAGAUGUUCACGGUGCACAACACACAUACACAAACUCACGCAUGCACACACACACACACUAUACAAAUAUAUAUAUAUAUAUAUAUAUAUAUGUAUAUAUCUUCCAUAUUCCUAAACCCACACAUCAUACAUAUCACGUGUCAGAUGUGCGUGCACAUUACAUAUAUCACAGACAUAUAUACACUGUGCACAUCACACGUGACAUUUGUACUUAUAUGCACACAUGCAUGCACACCUCACUCUACACACAUGCCUGCCAUGCACACAUGUAUAUAGAAACACCAAAAUGAGUGAAGAGAUUUUUAAAGGAGGCUUGUGCAGUCAGGGUAUGAUAGGCUUGGGCAUGACUACCCUCUGUGUUACAGUCAACUGCGGUCUGUUCUUUUAGCUACUUUCACAACAGGGCCAGUGCCUGUGUAGAAGGAACACCAAGGCCACAUCUCAGGGAAGUGAACUGAGGACUCAGAAGAGGUACAGGCCCUGGAGUAUGGAAAGGCAGAGCAUGGUAUGCAGAUGUAAAUGCUGUAAGGCACUCUGGCUUGUCCACUCCAAUAGGCACGAUAGUAAGCAUGAGGCCAGUAGAUGUCGUAUCCGUGGGAAGAACCCUCUGGAUGCCAUGUUAGCAACUUAGGGUGUUUCUUGUUUUCAGCCCAUGCUGUGGCCAAGGAAUCAGGAGGUGUGGGGUAGAGAGGACACUUGAGCAACUACCCUCUAUGUUGUGAACCUAGUGGAUGUUUUUCUGCCCUUCUAGACCUGUGAGUGGCCUGUGCCAGCACAGCAGAAUGGGGACAUUCCCAGUUCCACAGGAUACUGCAGGCUUGGGGACUGGGUACUUAGGCUUUUGGCUGUGCACCACACCACCUUCCUGACCAAUGGUACAUUAAGUCAACCAGUGCUUGCAGAAUGCUUGAGACAACACAAAUGUCUCCUUUCUAACUGGAAACAACAUAUAAAGGUCUAAUACAAGUCAGUAAUGUGUCUCUGAUUGUCCUGUGGCACUGGGUGAAUUAAGGACAGGAUGGAGAGCAUGCCAAAGAGUCUAACUCGUUCUGUCCCAUCUUCCUUCUGAAUGCAGGUCUCCAGGAUCCAGUGCUCACACGGACUCAGGGCUGCUGCUCAGGGAACCAGCAAACCCUGUUGCUCUGACCAUGCCACCGUGAAGGGCGGUCUCUUUCUGUUCCAGUCUCUGCGGUGCCACUCUGUAUUAGAAAGGACAUCUUUCAAAGGAGGGGUUGGUGAAGGGCAAUUUACCUUCUCUUUCAGAGAUACAACUGUCUGAGGAGAGGCUAGGAGGUGUUGCAGAACCAAAAUAUAGAGCUAGAGGGAUCAGAAAAUCGAGGUUGGGAGGAAGGUUAGCUCAAGGCUGCAUGUCCCUGAACACCUUGGUGGGGGUGAAGGGUGACUUAAUAGUCACUAGUAGCCCAGUGCCUGUCAGUACUCUACAUGACCUUGUAGCCCUUGCUUCUUCUGGUGCUCAACAGCACCACUCAGAUGCAAACAGCAAGGCCUAGAUAGUGUUCACAUCUCCCAUGGCUUGACACUGUGCUGGGUUUGAUACUACAAACCAGGAGGCUGGGACUUGAACUUGAGAUCACUGACUCAGGCUAGGGAGGACUCCAGGGCACCUGAGCUCAGCUGCAAAGGCAGAAACUGAACCACAGUGAGCAGAAGGGGCACAUUUUGCUGUUUCUUUCCUUUUCUGCUCUCAGGCCUUUCAAUGAACUCUACAGAUGAGGAUCUUUCCUCCCAGGCUUAGUGUCUGCAGCCAUGAGGGUCCUCUACAGGGGACUCAAAACCCCAGAAGAGUCUUCAGAAGGAAAGUGCUACACACUGCACUGCCCCCAGCACUCUGAAAAACAGAGACCCUUUUGGGGUUUGGGCCAGUCAGUGCUCAAUAGUUAGCUUCUGGCUGCACUGGGUGCUCACAAAUAACACAGCAGCCUGAGUCCUGUGACCUGGCUGUCACAGACUGUGAUUGAGAGUUUAUUUUAACUGUGUCAGCAUAACCACUCUGUUCCUUCUGGUUCCAGGUUGCACAGAGCUCCUUGUCCUCAUACACGCCUGUUCCAUCAUUGGACCUUAAUAUUUAAAGUGAGCCCUACACUCAGGAUGGACUUGGUUUUCUACAAAAACCUGCCAACCUGUGUGUGUAAAGAGGGGGACGGGAGGGAUGGAAGGAUGGAGAGAGAGAGAGAGAGAGAGAGAGAGAUGGAUGGAGAGAAAGACAGAACAAGAGAGAGAGAGCAAGAGUGAGAGCAAGAGCAAGCGAGAGAGAGAGACAGAGAGAGAGAGACAGAGAGAGAUAAUAUGCACUAGCCACCAAAGAAGCAUUCCUGUAUUCUUCAUUAGCCUUACAGCUUUUUCUCUCUUCCCUGAUUAUUACCUUUUGUGCUGUGUUGGGUAUUUUGUAAAGAAAUGCUUGACUUUCUCUUCCUUUCUGUUAAUCUGGCGCUUGGUUCUUUUUUUCUUUGUUACCAUGGAGAUCAUACCGAAAAUGCUAAAAUACUACCAAUCCUAUGUGAACUGUAUUACUGCUAUUUUGACAGCCCUGACCAACUUCUUCAGUUACUGAUGUCAAUGAAGGAGAUGUCUGUGUACAUGAGCCUCGGUGGCACUGCUGUUUGUGGUCAUGUAACAUGGCAUCUCUCACAUCUUGGAGGAAGCAGAAGUUCACCUUGCCUUUGGGGAUUGUCCGGGGAUCACCUGUUCUUUAUUUCUUCUUGAGAUUCUGAAAUCCUUUAAAUCGGUCUUCAUCUGUGGGAGUUUCUUAGUUUUCUUCCUCAAUUUUGAAGGAAAGUUUUACUAGAAAAUCAUAGUUCCUAAAGAGUGUUUGUGUUGUUGUUUUUGUAUAGUGUUGCGUAUACUCACCCAUUCUGUGUGUCCGUGUGAGUGUAAGUUUGUGUGUUUGUAAUAAAGGGUGGGAAUGUGUGUGGUGUGGUAUGUGUGUGUUUGUGUGUGUGUGUGUGUGUGUGUGUGUGUGUGAGAGAGAGAGAGAGAGAGAGAGAGAGAGAGAGAGAGAGAGAGAGAGAGAGAGAGAAGAGAAGAGAAGAGAAGAGAAGAGAAAAGAAUGAAGCAAUCUUGUAUGUACACUGUUAUGGAUGUGUCCCACCAUGUGUGUGGAGGUUAGAGGACAUUUUUGUCAGACCUUAUCUUACCUUGUUUGGAACUAGGUGUGUGGUUUGAUGUUGCACAUGGCAGGCUGCCUGAACGACAAGCUCCCAGGCAAAUUUCUGUUUCUCCUUCUUUUCCUGCUUCCUAAAAGCUCUGAUAUUACAGGUGUGUGCUCAACUUUCGCAUGGGUUCAAAAUCAGGUCUUCACACUUUGCAGGGCAGAUGAGAAUCAAAAGCCUUGGAAGCUGUGAGGAAGGCAUCUUCCUGUCACCCUACAGGUAGUAAUAAGUUUCUUUAUUAUGUCUCAUGAGCAGUGUUGGGGUGCAGGAAUCACUCCACAAACCAGACAGCCAUUUCAGUCAAGCAGGGACAGUUUAUGGAACAUAUAUCCUGGGACUGAUUGGUCAGGGACACAUGUCACACAGGGGAGUAGAGACUGCAACCCUAUUUCCAAGGACUGUAGUAUGAAAGGCAAAACCACAGAAGCUCUCAGCAACUAAGAGCUCAUACACAGGUGCCGAAAGUCUUCCCAGGCAGUUGGGUGGUUGGUUCGGGUCCAAGGUUAUUGUUGCUAGCAUACAAAGCAAUUCUAACUGACCUUAACUAUGAUUGGCCCUAAAGGAGGGCACAGGUUAGGGUAAUUUCCAGGAACAACAGACCACACAACUUAGUGCGAUAUGCAGUUAAUGAUUAGCUGGGCAUGAGAAAGGUCCUCUGUAAUAAUGUAAGAUGGCUGGCGACAGGUAUUAAACAAAGUGGAUAGAGUAAUGUCAGAAAGGCAGCAGCCACCUCCGUCUUAAAGAGAAGAUUAUACACACACACACACACACACACACACACACACACACACGUGUGUGUGUGUGUGUAUAAUUAAUAUAUAUAUAUAUAUAUGUAUCUGUAGUAUAUUCUUAAACCCAUAGUUGAAAUGCAAAAGGGACCCAUGGAAGGUAGACAUAAGGAUUUUAAAGCAGGAGGCACAGCAAGCCUUCAAACAGAGAACUAAGGACAGCAAACCAUCCUGCAGGCUUUGAUUUCUAAAAGCCUAAAGGCUCCCCAUAGCCAACCUAAGCCAGAGCCUUGGAGUCCUUCCCAACCAUGCAAGGACAGGUCCUAUUGUGACCUCAUGAGGAGCGACUGUGAGGCGGUCCAGCCAACAGAUGUUAAGCUGUAGCCAGGCCUGGAUUUCCUUGAGUGCGUUUAGAGGAGUGGUGGAGUGGAGACUUUGGUGAUUUUGGUGGAUCUAGUGAGCAGUGUGUGGAUUUUGCAUUUGAUUGAUUUGUGUUUUGCUUGUGUAUGUGUGUCUAGGUCAGUGUUUGUGUGGACGGUUGCUUUUGUGUGUGUGUGUGUGUGUGUGUGUGUGUGUGUGUGUUGGUAUUCUUGGUGGUGACUGUGAGUGCAUCUGUGAGUGUGGGUGUGUGGGUGUGCCCAACUGUGUGUGAGUGUCUGUUGUGCCCUGUUGGUGCACUAGUUGUAGGUGUGAGAACACCUGUGUGAGGAAAAGUUUUGAGGCCGGCAGUCAGCUUGGCCAUUGUUUCUAAGUGCACAGCAGAGGCAAGAAGACCAUCAACACUGAAAGCACAGAAGACAAAUCCAGUGACUCAGCAGAGGUUAAGCCUGUCGCAAGCAGGCCCUGGCCCAAAAGAUUUAGGGGGUGGCUCAAGAACAUCCGAAAUGGCCUGAUGAACCUGUGUUGCUGCAUUCCGUCCAGAAAAAAACCUCCCCUGGGGCACAACAGAGUUGUUCCCCAGAAAUGAAGAACAUGGAAGGAAUCCAGAGAGCAAGCAUCCAACACUGCCCAGAAGAUCACUAGAGGAUGCCGGAUGCUGCAUCUCUGCAGUCCCAGUAUUGAAGUGGACCCACGUGUGGACACGGUCCUGCAGAAGGGAGCGCUGUGAGAGCUGUCACCUUCCAGGUCAGCUGUGGAAGGAUGAAAGCAAAUGAAGAGAUGCCAGGUGGCAAGAGAGCACCUCAAAGGCAUCACUCUUCCUGGUGGAGGUUGAAAACCAGUCCAAAGCUGGUAAAGACCAGAGCCCUUUUGCCGACCAGGGUCACAUCACACACCUCCUCUUGGCACAAGUUCUCGCCUCACUCUUAGUGGAGAAUAUAUGUCUUCUCAAUGUGUUUAUCCGACUCUGAGAAUAAAAUAGCUGUUUGUGAAA
Non-coding RNA from Rattus norvegicus (Norway rat), 63261 nucleotides. The record is from RefSeq and is a predicted model, not a curated record. Lineage: Eukaryota; Metazoa; Chordata; Mammalia; Rodentia; Muridae.